UUGUUUUAGAAAGGUGAUGGCUUUCCUGCAGAUGAAGAGGGUGUUUGCUAGUGUCCUACGGCGAUUUAAGGUGGUGCCGGCAAUAGAGAAAGGAGUGGAGCCGAUGUUCUUGUAGGGAUUUAAGGUGCUGGUGUCUUUCGGUUUUGCCUUUAAAAAUAUGCUCACGUGAGAGAGGCGUGCUAUUUUCAGUCAGAAAAUGAGCAAAUACAAGUAUUAUGAUCAAAAUGGAUCAUAAUUUAUAUGUUAGUGACGAUUCUGACCGAUUUUAAAUGCUAGGAAUUUUAAAAAAUUUUGUGAAAAUAUUAGGGACCAAUUUGACAAAUUUCCUUAAAUAUAAAAUCGAAAGUUAAGCAAUUAAAUUCUAAGCUAAAGUUUUGCAUCAAAACUACAAGAUGUGAAUUUAGUAAAACUAACUAGUUUUGGUAUGUUUGAUUUUUUUAUAAGAUAAUGAAUAAAUAAAGUGACAAAAGUAAUAUGGUUAAGAUUGAAAUUUUAAAAUUUAGAGGCCUUCUACCCUUCCCGUUUCAUCAAUCCUAUCUCACAUUGAUUAUGAGAAUUAUACUAUUAGUAAAUGAGCUUUUUCAUCGGGUGUCCACAAGGCAUUUAUUAACAUAUCUACAUUCACCUGACAUUAGGGAUGUAAUCGAGCAAAGUCAAGCUCGAGUAUUGCUAUACUCGAGCUCGACUCGGCUCAUAUAUGCCUAGGCUCGAACUCGGCUCGAGCUCGAUCGAGUCCAAAAAAUCGAUACUCGAAACUUGACUCGAAAAAUUUCCUUUAGGCUCGAGACUCGACUCGAUAAGGCUCGACCUUUAAUCAUUAGACUCGACUUGACCAAAAAAUGAGAUCAAAGGUGACGUUUUGGGAAGAUUCAAAAGCAAGCAAAUAGCUAUCAGUUGGAGUAAAUAAGGAAUAAAAUCCAUGAUUCAUCGAUACAAAUACAACCAAAAGUAUCCACAUUCUACCUCUCACAGUUAGCAUCUUUAACACCCCUAAAAAUCAGAUUCACCACAAAGAAGAAUAGAGAAGAAAAAAGGGAAACUCCCACUUGCUGGAUUGCUUGACAUGAAACUUUCAAAUUCAGCAAUUACCCAUCAACGGUAAGUGCCCACAAGAGCAGCAAAAAAUGGAUAAUUCUAAUUCCUCUGACCAUAGUUCCUAAGUGAGCUGCGAAAGUACCCAAACUAAUCAAAAUUCCCCACAAAAUUCCAAAACUCAGCAAAACAUGAGCUGAGCCACCAAAUUGAGAGACAAACAAUUAUCUCAAACAACCACAAUAUCACUAAUUAUCUCAAACAACCACAAUAUCUCAAACAGCCACAAUUAUCUCAAACAGCCACAAUAUCCCAACUACCACAAGCUCAAUUCAAGAAACCAAUGCCAAGAUCUAUCCAGAAAUUCAUUUUCCCUACAAAUAUCACUAAUUACUAACUAAAGAAAGCUGCUUUAAACAAGAACAUGUCAGAAAAAUAUAUUCCUGGUUUAGAAAUGGACCAUAGUUCAGCAGAAUUACAAGUGUUUGAACAAGAUAUAGAAGAAUGAAGUUGAAAACUCUUGUCACUAACCUGACCCAGCAAAGAUGACCUCAAUACCACCAUUAAAAUGAAAUCCCAGAGGCUGGAGCCUUUUACAGCAAAUUGCAACAGCUCUUUCCAGGCUGUUGAUUAGGCUGUCAUUUUACACAGAGGAAAGAGCAAAAGAACUGGACCCACAAGCAAAACCUUUAAACCUUAUACCACACACGACACACUCAAAAAACAAGUUUUCUAGACAUUUAUCCUACACAUUAGCAUGUCAUUAGCCAGCGGCCAGCCUGCUCACAUUGGCAUGUCACAAUAGCCAGCGGCCAGCCUGCUCACACAAUAGUCAUACAUUCGGCAAAUGAAAGAAAAAGGCUUCAAAAUAUAAACAUACUCCACAAUACAUAAUAAGUUACGUCUCAUAAAUUAACAAGGUCCAAAUUAUGAGCUAAUCUAGAUUUAGAAACAUAAAUCUUCAAAGCUUUGGCAAGUCGAAUUCUUUGAUUGUCUUGGCUUCCUACAAAAAGCAUAGAGGUAAAAACACAAAAAAAGUUACAUAACUUCCCAAAAGAAUAAAUUAACUUAUACUCAAUAACUCAAAUAUAGAAGUUUGGUAGUAAAACAAUAAAGCUGACCUGUUAGCAAGCAAAGUACACUAUCUUCAUGAAUGGCAGAAUAUUGUUAAAAAAAAAAAUCAUGAACAAUUGGUGAUAUCAUUUCUAAAUUGAGGUUGUAUAAUAUGCAUUUACAGUAAGUUUAGCAAGAAUAGUAAAGCAUUGUAAUUUUUCUUAAAUAAUAAUUAUACCAUAUCAUGCUCUGUUUUAUUCCAUUUUAUGUAGUGUCCUGGAGAGAAACAAACUAUUUAAGUAGCUAAGUACUGCUAUGGAAGCAUGGACGUACGCCCAACUUUGUCACAGGGAAAUAUGUCUACGCUAAACACUGAGGCCCCAUGAGCAUGACAGAACCAGUGGUGAGAAAACGUCUUUUUGAUUAAGAAUAAUUAACACUAACGCUGGUUUUACUACGGCCAGAAUACCAAGUUUUGAAGAAAACGACGCAAAUCUAACGCAACCUUUGGUGGAUAAACAGUCAAUAAACCCCUAUUUAGAGAACAGUUCAAAAAUGAUUUUUAUAGUACCAAGGCACAGUCCAAGAAAGUUCGACAAAGCAAAUCAUCAAGCAAAGGAUACCAGAAGAGCUGCGGCGAAAAUUACCAAGACACCAACUUUAACCUUUAACAAACUCAGAGUAACCAGAUGCGGUAAUCAAUCAUACUACAUUAGAGCAGAGGUAGACAUACCAGUAACCAGAUGCGAUGGUGAUGGCGAUGGCGAUGGAGUCUCACAGAUGCGGCGAGCAACGGCGUCGGCGAUGAACGAGAGACUGAGAGUAACGGAGUGAGGGUUUAGAUCUAAAUCAGUCAGAGUCAGUGGUUGGUAAAGUGAAUUUUUCGGCGAGGCUUUCUUCGAACAGAGAAGAAAGUCUUUUCUUCCUUUUUUUUAGACAUUUUUUCUUUUUAGGUCUUUUUACAAUUAUGUUAUUACUUUUUUGCCAUUAUGGGAUUUUAUUAUAAAGAAGGGUAUAUUGUAAAUUCCAUAUAACUUAUACCCAUAACGGUCAUUUUAUAAUUAUAAUACAUAUAUAUUAUUUAAAUUAUAAAUAUAUUAUUUAAAUAACCCCGACUCGUCGAGCUACUCGACGAGCCUCGAGCCGGGAAAUUUUGGCUCGAAACUCGACUCGAUUGUCAUUCGAGCUACUCGAAACUCGACUCGAACUCGGUCAACCCGAGUUCGAGCCAAGCCGUUGACCAAGCUACUCGCGAGUAGCUCGGCUCGCGUACAUCCCUACCUGACAUACCAUCUAAUAUAAACAUACUAACAAUCAUUAUCCUCUCAUACGUUUAUAUACUUUCUCUAUUUAAUCUUAUUUAUCAUCUAUUAUAUUUAUUUACUUUCUUUAAUUAAUUUUACAAUUUUAAAAAUAUGACAUUUGAAAUAUACGUUAACGGAUAUGGACGCUCGUUACACAAACUCUAAAAUUUUACAAACUCAUUAUAACAAAUUAGAUCUUGAAGUUUCCUAGAAAACACAUCAACCUCUGAUAUUAGUUAAUAAUUUUAAUUUGAUUAACGAGUUUGCUAGAAAAAAAAAAGGAAAAUUGAAAGGAAAAAUCCAGCACGUUAAUGGUCGUCAAGUCAUGUGGAACACCUUACCAUUUGUUUCCGUUUAGCCCAAAAGCUUCCAAAUUGAAAGAUUUCUUUCUCCGUGCAUUUUUUCCCCCAGUUUCUCCAAUUCCUCUCUUCCCGAGUCCCCCUAUUAUCAAACCCCUACUACAACCUAUAGCUUAGAAUCCCGCCAGAUUUCUCCGAUCAUUUUCCGGCGAGAUCUCAAACUUCAGUCGUCGGAAAAUUUUCGUCUGAUCCGUUCUCUGUCUUCCGAUUCGGUUAAUUAAUUUCAUAGAUCAGACUGAUGGCUCCGGUUUCGGCUUUGGCUAAGUACAAGCUAGUUUUCCUAGGGGAUCAAUCCGUCGGCAAAACCAGUAUUAUCACUCGAUUCAUGUACGAUAAGUUCGAUAACACCUAUCAGGUACUAAUUAUUUUCUCCCUAAAUAACUGACUUAUCAUGUAUAUCAAUUUUUUCUUUGGAUCUGAUUUAAGCAGUGCAUUAUAUUUUGUCUUGGUUAAGGUUUUCUUUUACUUCAGGAAUUGAUGAUUAAAGUGAUGAUCUCGUGUUUUAUUAGCUUUAUACGUGAUCUGGUUUAGUUAUAUUAUGUUUUUUUGUUAGAUUAUUAGAACUUUAUCGGAUCCGACUGCUAAAAUAUAAUGCAUGAAUUGCCAAGUCUACUGGAAUUUCGAUAAUCUUGUAGGUAGAAGUGGUCUUGAAGUAAUAUCAUAAUUUUGGUCGUACUUUCUUAGUCUUCAAAGCUGUUAGAUGUGUGAUUCAGGAUUUCAAUGGCAACAAUCAUUACUACGAUAUGAAUUGGCACUCUGUUACACUCUUUGGAUUUUUUUGAGGAGGCCUGAUGAGAUAGUCUAACAAGCACUUGAGCAGUUAUGCUUGAAUUGAAGAUUUGCACAAUUGCAGUUACACUGGUUGUAUUAGAUUAAUUAUUUAUGCUGACUUUACUUUAUCAGGUUUGGGGCUGCUAUGGAAUAGUUUUUGACAUAGAUACAACAUAUCCAUUCUUUGCCUGCUUGUGUCAAACAUUUCAGUUUUCGGCUGUCUGUCUAUUGUGAGACUGCAUGGAGUCAGGCUUGUACCAGUUUGUGAACACCAUGCAUUGUCUUCUUAUUAUUGCAGUUGAUUUUCUUUUUAUUCAUCAUCUGCACGUUGUGAUAACCUUUGUUCUUAUUAGACUCUUCAUUACUAUUUUCGGCAGUGCUUCCCUGGUUCCUUUUUGCCCUUCUGUUUUGUGGUGCCAUUUUCUUGCUGUACAAUAUUUGGACUUCACAUUCUGACUGGUGCUGUCAACCUUGUUUAUAGGUUUCAUUCAUUUCUUAUCAUUUUUAUUUUGCUCCUUUUUUUCAAACUCAUGGGGUGGUAAAAGCAUUUUUGUGCUUUUCUGAUGUAAGUUGAUGUAAAGCUAGGAAUUAGGAGAUCACCUAACAUCUGAAGCCAUGGCAUACCUUUUGUUACCAAGAAUUUUACGUGAAGCUAGGAAUGUUGGACCAAGUAUGAAUUGAAAAGCAUGUUACAUCCAAAAUACAGAAUGCUAAUUUGUGUACAUCUUUAUCAAGAUAGACUCUCAACAAGUCUUGGCUACUUGAGAUUGUAAAUUUUGGUGGCUUGUAUUUGCAUGUCAUAGCAAGUUCCAUCACUUAAACUCUUAAAAAAUAGUAUAGCAACUCAAUGUUUCGUAGGUUGAGUAGAUAAAAGAAAAGAGCAACAAAAGUCCACAGACCGCCUAAUUGCACACUAAGGGCAGAGACAUUCUCUGCAGUGGCGUAGUUUGAGCUCUCACCCCAGGCCCCCCCGGGGGGGGGGGGUCGUUUGUGGGCGGGAAAUAACCUCCUACGGUUGUAGGACUUUCUAAAAUAACUUUGGUAUAGUUUAUUCUUGUGAACCUUCCUCUUUAUCUUUUGCUUUGUUUUCGGCAAGUCUUUGUAUCCGUGUAGCCCUUCAGAAAGUGUUCCCUUACCUUGAACUAAGUUGUGGAGACAGUAACUUUUAGAUAUUCAAUACUUUUAUUGCUUUGUUAUUUUCAUAUUUACCUACUCGCAAGUUUUCUUUUGAAAGCAUUUUUUGGUUGCCGUUGUAUUGAGCUCAUGAAGAAGUUAUAGAAAUGCCUUUUUAAUCACAAUCUGAAGUCUGUUAUUUCUGCUUAAAAUAGAAGUCUUCAUUCUGUUUCACAUUUUUUCCUCCAAACCUGAAAUUUCUAAAAUGGGUUCUUAUUUGUAUCUUAAAUAUCUAUUCAGGCUACAAUUGGCAUUGAUUUUCUGUCUAAGACAAUGUAUCUUGAAGAUCGAACUGUUCGACUGCAGCUCUGGUAAGUGGUUUUAACUGAGAGAAGGGGGAAAAACCCUGCACAUGUGUGCAAUUGUAUGAAAUUAGUAUGGUUCUGUUGCUUUGUCAUUCUUGCUCUGCUAAUGUAAUAAAUUCCUGGUAAUAAUUGUUCACGUACUAAGGAAGGGUGGUGAAGCUUUGAGAUAACACUUUUCAUCUUAGUUUCAUACUAAUUUUCAUGAUUUGCAUGUCAAAUUUUGGUUGGUGCGUAGUGUGGUUGUCUGCAAUUUCUGGAUUGUGCUAAGGAUAUUGGAAAAAUUUCAUUGUCAACUCAAAAAGGGUCAGCAAUUUUGGUGCAAGCUUGUGUGUGUGUGUGUGCGUGUGUUUUGGGGGGGGGGAAUUGUUGCAUAGUUGUAAUUUUAAUGUUAUACUGCAUAGUAAUUAAAUACAAUUUGAAACUCACUUGCUUAAGGUUAGAGAAAUUCAUCUUGAGCUAUGUGCUGUUUGAAAGUAAGACUAGUGGAAUGACUUUUUUUAUUUCCCCAACAUUUACUGAAUUGCUAAUUGAAGGGUUAUCUCUUCUUGUAUGUUUGUGUAGGGAUACUGCUGGACAAGAGAGAUUUAGGAGUCUCAUUCCAAGCUAUAUUAGGGACUCUUCAGUUGCUGUGAUUGUGUUUGAUGUUGCAAGUAUGCCUUUUCUUUUGUUUUACUUUUUAGCUGUCUGAGCUUAAUACAUUGCUGUGUGUUAGAUUUUAGCACAGAAGGGUUGAUUAUAGAGAUUUGGAGCUGCUUUUUCUUUAUUGGUAGCCUGAUGUCAAAUCAAAUAUUAUGGGAAAAUAAUUUUACCAAGCACAUGGUUUAUUCAUUCACUUUACUUUUAAUCCAAACCGCCUAUGUCAAAUUGUUUUUGGCAGAUAUGUAUACUGUUGUUGCAUUGUGUCAUGUUAUCUAACUGUUUUGGCUGUUUUGGGGGUUUAGGCAGACAGUCCUUCCUGAACACUUCAAAGUGGAUUGAGGAGGUUCGCACUGAGAGAGGCAGCGAUGUCAUCAUUGUCCUUGUUGGAAAUAAAACUGACCUUGUGGAUAAGAGGUAAGUAUCAUUUCAAAAUCUUUACACUUAUCCCCUCUCUCUCUCUCUCUUAAGUUAUGGACAAAACAAUGGUCCAAUUGUGGAAUUUUUUUGAGAAUCUGCCAUGGAAGUUUAAUUUGGAGCGGCUUGACCUUCCCACUAGAAUGAGCAAAUUUUAAGUGGUUUCUGGCAUAAGCAUGGUGAAUUAAUUUAGUCCCAUUGUGGUGUAUCUCACUUACAAUUGCUGCAUUUAGGAUUGGAAGAGUUCAUUAUCAUUGUCUGAUUGCUAAGCAGUCAUCAGACAUGUAAACAUGAGAGCUCAGUUUUGCAUUAUCUCGUGUAAUUUGUACCAAACACUUGGCCAUGGAUAAGCUAUUAAUUGAACCGUCUGUCAUUCUGUUACAAGAAUGAUACAAGGAGCAGCUUCACUUGACACCAAGAGUUGUGUCUGAUGAGCGCAAUCUUUAUUUAUUCAAUCGGUUGCAGGGAACUAAAACAUUCUUGCAUUCUCGCUUCUUCUGAUUUGGAUCUCAGGCAAUGGAUUAAGUAAUAUGAUGAGUGAUGAUUGAUUGUUGUGAAGUUUGUGUCUAGCUAUGAAAUGUUUGAGAGAGCGGAAACUUUGAUUCCAACUUAAGUUUGAUAGUGAUAGCAAGUGAUGAUAUUGCCAAAAACAAGAGAGGGAUGAAUGAUAUUAUGGUUAUGGGUGUAAGAAUAGUGUGAUAGAUCUGUGCUUAUGUAUCUUAUAGGAAUCCUCCAAAAAGGAAGCAUGGUGUUGCUUUUCAGUAUAAUCACAGUUACAUAUUAAUGACUCAACAAGCUUCCAACUUCCACAGUACUUGUGUUAAAUUGUUAUAUUUCUAAACACUACCUAAUAUUGUAGAAUGUUCUUUUAGAAUUUUGUUUUAACCUUUCCCUCUUCUCAUGCCUUGUCCUGUUUUUGUGUAUGUAUCAGGCAAGUUUCAAUAGAGGAAGGAGAAGCCAAAGCCCGGGACCUCAAUGUUAUGUUUAUUGAAACCAGUGCCAAGGCUGGUUUCAAUAUAAAGGUGAGUGCAGAAAUGAUCUAUGGCUUGUGUCAAAGAGUGGAAUGCUUUUGUACUUCCUCCUCCUUUUUUUUUUUCUUUUCUCGAUGGCUUCUUAGGAUGAAAGCUGAUCUAGUGUAUUUUUGGGCAUUUUGUCAAUGUUAAAUUUAUUUAUGUCAUUUGAUUUGCAGGCGCUAUUUAGAAAAAUUGCUGCAGCCUUACCUGGAAUGGAGACCCUUUCUUCUGCAAAGCAAGAAGACAUGGUUGAUGUCAAUCUCAAGUCUAGCAACACAAAUGCAUCUCAGGCCCAACAGCAGUCCGGAGGGUGUGCCUGUUGAUGAUAUUGAUUAAAGAUAACAUCUACUUAUCUUCCUCUAUAUUUUCUUUGAACCCGUGAAGUCUGUAAAUUUUUCCCAUGUCUUCCAGAGAAUUUUACAUUUUUUUUUGUGUGGUGGAUCAUAAGGGAAGUUGAACUCAAACAUCAGGUACUCGUCGUUCUAGUUAACUAGUCUAUAGUAUCUGUAAUUUUUCAUCUGUAUGAUUAAUGUCGAUUUGUAGUCUUGUAUUCAGAUUUUGGCCCGUUGCUGCCAAAUUUUGGUUUUGAAUAGGUAUGGGUUUUCAUUUUAAUGGAACUUUGUAAUUUGAUUUCUUGUUGAGAUUAUGUCAAAAGAGUUAGUAUUGGGCACACACUGUUAGAGGAGUACACCAGCAGGAUCCAACUUUUCUUGUUCUUCUUCAUUCGUCCACAUUUUGGGAGAGAGUCCACAUAUUGGGGGAGAAUGGUGGUUUCACAGCACCUACCUCCUACUCUCCUUAGAGAUAUCUAGUCAAUCCUGUGGGCGGAAUUGUGAAUAUUUCCUGCUCGAUAUCACUGACUUAAAGAUUAUGAGAAUCCGGUGCGGGAAGUUCUAUUGCAUGUUUGCUCGUGCAAUCCAAUCGGUGAGGUUUCGGUGCAUGCUCGCAUGGUAACGGUGUGUAAACUUACAGCUAUUGAUCUAACGAUUUCAGGCUUUUGACUGCUCAACGCAUUUUAAUUAAACUUGACAGAAUAAACUUUGAGUAAGCUUACUAAAUCUUAAAUGAAAUUUGAGUGCCAUUUUUCUGAUUUGCAAAUACUGCAGUAUUGCAUAUAUAAUUAAUUGUAAGCGAGUAUCAUCCAGUAGAAUGUGCAAAGCAAUUUAGUACUGCUUUCAUCCACUUUGAUAGUCCUAUUUUUUUUUUUUUUUCUAUUCCAAAUUGUAGUCCACUUUCUAAUUGAAUAAUUGAAGAAUGUAGUUGUUUUUUAAUUUCUUUAAAAUACAUUUAUUUAAUGUAAGUUGUUAUUAUUAUAAACUACCUUAUUUAAUAUAAAUUGUUAGUAUUGAAUAUAACAUACAUCAUUUAAUGCAUUUAGAUUUUUCAAAACAUAUUGAUAUAUAAAAAGAUAAUUUUAUUUAAUGUAAGGGUAUUUUAAAAAAAUAAUAAUUUAAAUUUAUUUUUUUAACAAAGUUAACUACUUUUUUUUUUUUUUUUAAAUGUGUGAAAAAAAAAUUAGCACCGUCAAAAUUGGGCAGUAUAAAAUAAAAAUUGCAGGCUGUCGAUUCUAAUCAAGAUGGAUAUUGGCAGUUCCAAAACUGAUUCGCACUCUCCAUCAUUCGAUUCUAAGCACCAGGAGGGAUGAAAAGCCGGAAGGAUUUUGACACCUUUGUCAGGUAGUGAUUGCCAUUUCAAUGAUUCGUCACUCAUUCAGGAAAUUUCAGUCAAACCAUUAACCUGUUGGGACUUGGGGGUCCCCGGGAGGCCGGGAGGGAGCAGUCCCUUAAUUGCGAGCCCCGGUUUUAUUGCAAGAGCACUGUAGUAAUUUCGGCUCGUGCGAACGAGAUUAGCGAUAGAAACAAAACCACGUGUGGGAGACGAAUCUAUCGGUUAUUCGUCAAACCGUCUUCUCCUAAAAUCUCUGAGCGUAUUCGUCAGACCUACGCACUUGCAUACUUGCAUCUCGCUCGCUUGUGGCGGCUUAAAUUUUUUUUUUUUCUCCCUCUGGAGAUUUCGGCGCCUUUCCUGGUAUUUCACUCUCAAGUUUGUCUGUGAAUUUCCUUGCCACCAUGCCAGGUCCCUCUCUUCUCUGUCAUACGUGCUUCUCUGUCAUACAUGCUCCUUUAAUUGUGUUCCUACUUUGUAUUUCUUUCUUUUGUUCUUUUUUUUUGGUAAAAACAGCGGGAAAGGGGAUGGAUGACAAUGGGCUUGUUCGAACGAAGACGUUUAAUUAGUAGGCGGCGUUGUAUCCGCUCAUCAGUGGGGUAGCUUUAGAUUGAACAUAUGAUCCUCCUUCUUUACAUUCUAUGGACACCAAAAAUUCUUUUUUUUUUAAUUUUGUAUGUGUUCUGGUACGAUGUUGCAAUCUUGAUUUUUCUUGUGUUUUACAUUGGUUUUGUUUUCUUCCAUGAAAUUUGUCAGGAUAAAGUAUUGAUCUUGAUGGGAAAUUUGUCAGGAUAAAGAAAAAGUAUUGAUUUUGAUGGAAUAUAACGAGGGUCUUGUGCCUCAACAAAUCUUACUGGUUGAUAAAUUUUUUGUUGUUGAAAUUGGAUGAGUUCGUGAGGAUUACUUUUGCAAAUAAUGGAGAAAUCAAUAAAUUGAAUGAGCUUGCGUGAUUCUUCACACACUUAAAACACUAAUUUGGAGUUUCUGCAUGAAUACAUGGCUAAUUGCUGAGCUGUUAGCUGAAAGAGUCUAUCCAAGCGAAAAAUAUGAAGGAAAGAUAAGUUGGCUGCUGGCAGAAAGAAUUUUAUAGGUGUCUGGGAACUACCUUUUACUUGACAGGAGUUCCGUUCUGGCCUUUUGUUUAAGAUUCAUUGGGAAAUUUGCAAGAUUAUUAUGGGCCACUUUUGUUGUUGAGUUGAUCAUGUGCAAUAUAUUGUUUAUCAAGAUUACUGGUAGGGGACAAAAAGUAUUGGUGCAUAUUGGCUCUUGGAUGUAUAGCAGAUUUGUUAGCUAACUUGUGGAUGAACUCUAAUAUAGGUUAUGAGGGUAUGAGGGUAAUCUACUUUUUCAACAAAGUGUAUUAUCCUAGCAAAUGAUGAAGUCACUUUAUUAAAGGGAGCAAGCUAAAAGUAUAAAUAGGCUAGUCAGGUUGAUUCAGCAGGUUUAGAGUAUUAUUCCAUAUUCACAGACGUGGAUGUCCUCUCAACUUACUUAAAUAGGACAAAGAAUAAGAAAUUGAAGAAGUUCAUCUUCUGUAGCCGCUGAAAACAUGUGGAAAAGGCAGAGAAUUACAAAAGUGUUAAAUAAAUAAACAAGAUUGGCAAGUAAAUAUCUGAAUUCAUUUCCAAUUGUUACAUACUCUCAGUUUUGCAACUAGCAGAACUUGUUGCCACCUCUUCGAGGGGAUGAAUAUUUCGGGUUUAUAAGCACUUUUUUCUCCUGUUUUUCCUUAUCUGGAUCAGUUUCCACUUUUCAUCUAAAACUUUGCCUAUGUUUUGUGUCAUUUUCUCAUAUGUUGUGCAACAUUGAAAUUGGCAAAGGAAGAGACCCCAAAUGCUUUAAGAAAUUGUGUACAUUCAAUUUAUCCUGAUGAAAGAAUUCACUGUAAAAUAAAAUUAGCAGUAGCUUGAAUGCUUGAUAUAGCUACAAUUUCACAAUGGUUCACUGGAGAUUGGUCACGUUACCUGCAUUUUCCCCCCUUAGUCAUUUAAUAGCAAUGGUUUUAUUUAUAUGUUGAUGGCAAAAUCUGAUAUGAAAAUGUUUUGGCAUGUUGUUGUUCACAGUCAAUGAGGAACCAAUAUUGAUAAAGGACAGUACUUUGAUUGAUACGCUGCCAUUUUUCCGACUCAAGCGCUGGCAGUGGUGGCUUUUGGUUGCCCUUAACAUAGUGUUUCUUCUCGUUGGUCAAGCUGCAUCUGUCCUUCUGGGAAGAUUUUAUUAUGACAAGGGUGGAAAUAGUACAUGGCUGGCCACACUCCUCCAAACAGCUGGUUUCCCGAUUCUUUUUAUCCCUUACAUAUUCAUUGGCUCCUCGUGGACACCUUCGAAUUCAGCCAAUCCUUCUCUUAUUAGAGUUUGUUUGAUCUACUUUGUCCUGGGGGCAAUGACAGCUGGGGAUAAUAUGCUCUACUCAGUUGGACUUUUGUACCUCUCUGCCUCUACUUAUUCCCUUAUUUGUGCUUUGCAGCUGGCUUUCAAUGCUGUAUUCUCUUUCUUUAUCAAUCGCCAAAAAUUCACCAUUAUGAUUCUUAAUUCUGUGAUUGUCCUCACGUUAUCUGCUUCUCUCCUUGCUGUUAAUGGUGACUCUAAUGAACCUUCAGGAGUCUCAAAAGGGAAAUAUCUCAUUGGAUUCUUAGCUACACUGGCAGCAUCUGUUCUGUAUUCACUCUUACUUUCUCUUAUGCAACUAUCGUUCCAGAAAGUCCUAAAGAAGGAAACUUUUUCUGUGGUGCUUGAAAUGCAGAUUUAUACAUCUCUGGUGGCCACUUGCAUCUCCAUUAUUGGUCUUUUUGCUAGUGGGGAUUGGUCAACAUUGCAAGGUGAAAUGAACACUUACAGCACAGGAAAACUUUCCUAUGUUAUGACUUUGGUAUGGACAGCAAUUUGUUGGCAAAUUUGUGCUGUUGGUGUGAUAGGUCUGAUAUUUUUGGUGUCAUCUUUGUUCUCUAAUGUUAUCAGUACUCUUUCUUUGGCAAUCACUCCUAUUGCUGCACUCAUAGUCUUCCAUGACAAGAUGAACGGUGUUAAGAUAAUAGCCAUGCUUAUGGCACUUUGGGGUUUUGCCUCUUAUAUUUAUCAGAAUUACAUUGAUGACAUUAAGACGAGGAAGACCCACACCAAUGCUGAAAGGACUACUAAUGACUCGUUGUGCUGAUAAUUUGGAACGGGUGGGAUGGAGUUGUGAAGAUCGCCUGGAAUUUUUGUUUAGAAAGGGUUCAUCUUAUGCCUGAGACGUUUUCUUAGCGUUGUAGGUUAUAAUUUUGUUUUCUAAACUUUACCUUAGCUGAGUGAAUUUUUUUUUCAUAUCACUUGGUAACUGAUUGACACGUUACGCAAUUCAAUUGGAUUAGAGUUAAAAGUUUUUUCAGAAUCUGUUUGAGGAAGAACGUUCUUUCUGCAGACUUGCAAUUUCCAGGAAAAAUCAUCUAUCUAAGUGGGGGAUUUAACUUGUUAGGAGCAUUUAGCUAGCUCACAAACAUGUUAUAUUUCAGUAAAAAAUGCUGUUAAAUUUCUGUGAGAUGAGACGGAAGGAGAAAGAGAUAUUAUUUGCUGGCUGCAAGUUAGCAGUGGCUUCCUCUAGGGAGGGUGCCUGGAGUUGAGGUUUAAAAGGUUUUAUCUGAAAGCAUGCAUUUGAAUUUGAUUCAUGGUGGAGGAGGCUGAGAGAAGCUAUGUACUUAAUGAUGUAAUGGAGUUGAAAUGACGCAAGUUGUAGCGGAGGCUAGGAUCAGUUUUGAUAGUCUUACAGGGCUGUAAUGGAAGAAGGAAAUUAGACUGAAGUUUCUGAAUGAUAUUUUGUGCGGGCAGUAAGAGCCUAUGGGAAAAAUCUGAGACUUGUAUACAACUGCUCUUGGAUAGUUGGGUUUUGCAACCUAAGAUAGAAGCAAACAAGUUGGAAUUUUGUGCUUGGUGAUGCCCUUUAGUGAUAGGAAUUGGAUGGCGCAAUCUGUAGUUUGUUGCUUAAGUACAGCACGGGUUGCAGAAAGAGGGAUGUUUGGAAAUGGUGGAAUGUCUAGUGCCAAGCCAUUUUGCUACAAUCUGCUGGACAGAGUUGUUGAAGCUCGACACAGUCAAAUUGAUCUGUGUGGUUAGGCAUGCUGUCCUCAUUUCUGGAAGUUGAAAACCUCAGUUCAGGUUUCCGGUGUUGCAUGCAUUAGGGGUAAUUAGUAGCGUAUGAUAAUAAACUGACAAUUCUUGAUGGUCUGAGCAAACAAUUACUGUUAACAAGUAAUUUAUGUUUACGUGAUUAUAUACACCUCAAAAAAAAAAAAGUGAAUAAAUUCGAGCAGAAAGUAGUUAGUACUUUUUUUUAAGUAUAGUGCUAGUUUACAUACAUUAAAUUGAGUGUGUUUUUCUACACCCUUUGACUUUAUCAUUCUACAUUUCAACUGACAGAGAAAGCCCUGCUCUCAUGUUAGUUCAUUAUGAACUGUUGCUGCUGAUUUGGGUAAGGUUUUGCAAUCCAAGGGGUAGUGUCAGGUGUUGCUUUGGCCUUCAUUAGUUUCUAGAAUUAGAGAGACAUGUUUGGGAGGUAAAAGAGUUGGAAGGUCAGCAUCCAGGGCUUCUUUCUGCCUGUUGUUGAGGGGUUUGAUAUGGAAGAGCAUUUGACAACUUGGAAAAUCCACAUCGAAAACUACAGCUUGUCUGACUCUUUUCUGGUUGGUUGCAACGACAAAAUCAUGGAUGCACUUUGCAGGAAAACCGCAAUAAAAUGAUCAGUUAUGUGUGCUGCUUUGGGUUUUGCCAAGCUCCUUUUUCUAGGUGGAGAGGAACAGUCAGGUUCACACCACCCAAAAAUCCAGAGAUGAAAAGGUGAGAAAGAAGAAAAAGAUGCGGCUUGUAUGCAAAAUUGUUAAAGGGUAGUGGGCUAUUUUUACUUGUUAGUACUAACUUUUAGUUCCACUAACCUUGAACCUAUCCUUCUAGAACUAGUUUGGUAAGAAGGAAAAUGACAAUGUGCACGAACGUUGGCAAUUUGAUGGUGCUUGAAACUUUUGUCACCUCGAUCCAUCAACUACUUAAACAUGAAUUGUGGUAAAGAAGAACUUACACUUAAGGCAUUGAAUUUAGAGGUUUGAGUAGGAUUAUUUGGCCUGUAAUGUUUGUGCAGCUAAACCAGGAAUAAUGAGAGAUUCUUAAACCACAAGAAUAUUUAACCUCCACCACGACAUUAUUGUCUUUUGCAAAGAAAAUUCCCCCCCCCCCCCCCGAGUCAUCGCUUGGUUGGUGCAUGAAAUUAUUACUAACACAUUCCUCCGUGACAGAAUAUUAAAAUUUUUUUUUGCUAUAAUUAAUUAGUUUCAAAUGUUAAAAUUUUUUUUUUUUGUUGCAAGAUUGAAACUAAUUUAGUUUCUGUAUUCACAUGAUAAGUCGAGUCUAAUUUAAGUUUUAAGAGUAUCCUUCAGACUCCUCUGUAGAAAAACCUGAAAAAGAGAAAAUAGGUGUUAGAAUUUGAACCCAAUGUCUUGUACCAUAUGUAUCUUCGAUUACUUAAAUGGAAUAAUUUUGUCAACACGUUUCUUGAACGCAAGUUUACUUGUGAAAGAAAAACCAGCUUCAAUAAUAUAUUGCCGCCUCGCCUCACCUCACCUACUUACCGGCAAAUUUGAGUCGAUCACUUCAUCUAAUGGCAUUUCUUAUUGCUUCUAUUUCGUUCCCUUGUGGAAACCAGCUUCAAUCAUGACCAGUUCUGUUCAUCUUUAGAAAAAUGAUCAAUACUGACAAAACACGCACCAUUAUAUGAGUAAUCACAGAUCUUCAUUAUUCGACGUAUCCAAGUAAUUGUCUUUUACAAAUGAUUGUUUCGUAAGAAAUUUUAGCUUUCAUCUCUGAAUUUGAAGCUAAAAUUAUUAAAUGUCAAAGAAAGAAUCUUUGGAACCCUUUCUCUUUUUUUUUCCCCCCUCGAUUCUCUCCCUCAUUUGUUCAUGAAUUUACUACCUAAAUGAAAGAGAUCAUCAAUAAUUUGGGUGUUGUCAAAGAUAACAAUUGAAAGCCGAACCAUACCAUACCGGUGACUUUGCCACUGAACCUAACUUUUGUUUGCUUGAAAAUGUUUCCUAGCAAAGAAAUUAAUAGAGAAUUUGCAAUCAAAAUGGCAAUCGUUCUUGAGCCUAAACAACCAGAUAGCGUGGUCAGAGGAGGAUUUUCAAAGUUCUUCCCGCAGUUAAGUUCAGAAUUCGUAUUCUAGACUGACAGUUGAAGGUAAAAAGGAUGUGAAAAAGAGCGGUCGGAAAAAAAAAAAACCGACCAUAUAGUAUUAAUUAUUUUCCAUCUAAUAAGUGACUUGAUGCUUACAUAAUGUGAAUGUAGAUUGGAUAUUUUUCUUGGAUCCAAUAUUAGAGCAAUAAUGAAUUAAUACAGAAAAGAAGAGCAUCCAACUUUUUUUUGGACAUAUAACAUACAUACAUGUUAUAACAUGUAACAUAUAACAUGUUUUUUGGACAUACAUACACACAUAAUUUGCUUCUCUUUUUUUUGGGGGGGCAAGAAUAAAAAGCUCCAUGUGUCUUAAAUUAAAAUUUAUAGUAUGAGCCGAUUUCAUAUCAUGCUAGUAAAGAUCCGAUCUAGGAGAAAAUGACUCCUUUGCUCAUAGAAAAUUUAUUGCAAUACAAAGACGGGAAUAUAGAAAAUGACUGUUUCAACUGGAAAUUAAUAGACGGCAACGGCCAUGGUUCAUCCAUUCGGCCGAAAUGGUGGAAUUAGCCCCUCAUGCAUGACAUUCCAACAAAGAAUCCUUCAAUUUUGUUUUCAACCAUUAUUUAUUUGUGGUUUUCUUUGGUACACAUUGCACAAUCCAACGCAAUAAAAUGAGUGGACUGAAUGCCAAUAAAUUAAUGCAACUUGAAAAAUUUUCCCCCUAGAUAAAUUCACAAUCAUAGUAAAAGAAGAAACUUAAUAAGGUUAUGUUUGGAUAGUAGUUUUCUAACAGAAAUUUUUUAUAUUUGUUCUGAACACAUUUUUCAAUCACCUUUUUACCCUCGUAUACAUUGAUUUGGUCACAACCACUUAAUUGAAUUUUAGAAUAAUUUACUUAAUUAUCUUUACUGAGUUAGUUGGAUAAGUGAUGUCAACAAACCAACACCUGUAAAUGCUCGAAUCUUGGGGACCUAAAAGGAAGCUAUCUUAUUUUGACACACAAAAAAAAGGAAGCUAUCUUAUUUUGACCCAAAAAAAAAGGAAGCUAUCUUAUGUGUAUGACAUGGAAAAAUCACGUGAAAUAAGAAUUUUGGAAUGACAAAAAGGUAAUAAAAAUGAGGAUAUUUUGAUUUAGGGAAAAAAAAUUAAAGCCCCACAUGAUAGAACUCUCAAUGGAAAACUUAUGAAUUUCCUCCAAAAUGCGAUAAAUCAACUUUGAUUGAGUAUCAUUCAAAAAUCGUAUAUGAUAAACAAGAAUCUUCAUACAUAGGAAGAAAAAAGCAAAAAAGUCCACCUAUAAAAAAAGUCAGAUUGAAAAUCAUUACGUUUUGAUAUUAAUAGAGUAAAAGAUCCCAAGUGGAAUGAUUGUAUUAGUGAAAAACCUUCUCCGACCACCUUUGAAUUGUCGAAACAAGAAACUAUCCAUGAGUUAUGAGUAUUUAUCAAAUUUGUUUCUAUCUAAUAGAACAAGAACUGUCCGAGAGUUAUCACUAUUUAUCAAAUUUGUUCCUAUCCAAACAAGUUUAUCAAAUCUGUUCCUAUCUAAGAGAAUGCUAUUGGAUCGAAUGAUAACUACGUUAUUUAGAAACAGACGGCUUUUCCUAGAUGAAACUAAAGUUGGAUUCGUGUAAUUGGAGAAAAAUUUCCUAUUCCUCAGUCCGAAGCGAUAGACAUAAAUAUGAAAAUCUCUAAAAUCAAGAAGAUGGGUCAUCUUCUAGUUUAUUCUGUGUAUACCGCUUAGUAUGUAGGAUUUUUCAAAGAAAAAGAGUCAUGGUAAGAAAAGCAACUCAAAUUCACAACAUUUUUAGUAAUAAAUACAAAUAUAGAAAUCCCUAAAAUCAAGGGAACAUGCCAUUUUUUAGUUUAUUUGUAUCACUUGACCCUCACUUUUUCCUUUUUUUGAUAAAACAAAAGUCAAUAUUAUUAAUAAAUUGGUUGAAAAUCGUCCGGCACGAUUUGUUUGACAAGGCAAUAUGUACUAAUGGCAGAAACUACACAGAACAUGUCAGAGAUAUAUCUGAUGUGAAAAAUCAUUAGAUUUAAUAGAAUUACAAAAUAUAAAAAAGUUACACUGUGAAUCAAACCUACCGAACGUCCCUUGUCGCUAAGUAAGUUGACUAUGCUUCAAGCAUAACAAGAUUUCAGCCAUAUGAUUAAAAAGUCACUUUUCCCAACCAUUCGUAUGCGUUCGACACUCUUAUCCCUCCUCUGGUAAUUAUUUAAUGAGCAAUCGCAAUUAUCUUAGAUGUGUUAGAAAAAGUCUAGGUUUGAAAAGACCUGCCUCAUGUAAAUACUGCAAGACCAAAUGAUAUAUAUCUAUGAUUUUUUUUUUUUUUUUGGAGCAAGUAGAAGUUAGUAAUUGAAAUUACUAUGAAAAAUAUACUCCUAAAUGUGAAACGAUUUAUGAGACAUAAUUAUUGUUCAGAUAACAAGUUGCUGCUAAAUAAAAAUGUUAAAAAAAACUGUAGCCAGAAUGCUGCUGCAUGCUGUGGUCAUGGUGACGACAGAGAAGCUGCUUGCUGGUUGUGUACUCAAUCUAAGAAUUAAUUGAAGGUUGAAACCCUCAAAGUUAAAACAAAUCAACACGAGCAAGAUUUUGAUUUGACCAAAAGUUUGCACUAAUUAAGUGGAGGCUUUUUGCAGUAAAAGUUGACAUGUUUCCAGAUUUAAAAAGUUCACCAAAAAAUUGCACGAGCUGUUGUGAUGAUUAGGCAGGAGUGGAGGGUCAGCAGUGGAGAUUUUAGAACAAGAAAAGUGAGAAUUAGUUCAUCAAUAAUGAAGAAGACAAACUCAUUGUGGGCAAACAAUCAAACAAGUAGCCACUCAUGUUAACGUAAGCUUAAAUAAAAGGAUCAUUAAAAAGAAGAAGUUUUUUUCGGUGUUGUCAACCAAAAUUACCUUUAGUUUUUCCGGAUAAUUUAUCUUAUGACUCCAACGAACAUGUACGCUUGAAAAAUAAGUAAAUGUUUAUACACUGACAGUUUGUGUAUACAGUAUCUCUGUCGGAUCUAUGACACAUGUACAAAAGUUAAAUUUCAAAUUCAAAUUUAGUAUAAUUAUCAUUCAUUCAAAACUGAUAAUGUAUACACCGUUAUUAAAUAAAAAAUAAAUCCUUAAAAUUUUCCAGCAUGAUGAGCAGGAAAGCUUGAAAUUUGUUUCUUCCCCAAAAAAAAUUGAGAGAAAAAUACGGACCACAGUCUAUCUGCCACCAAUUCUCCUGCAUUUAGCUGCUGUUUGAUUGCAUGCAUGUGCUUGCCACUUGCAAGUCAAUUAUAGUACUAAUUAAUCACAGGAAAAUAAUAAGAUAUGAAUUAAUAAAAAGCCUUGACUUUAGAACUAAAGUAUAAAACAGAAACCAAACAAAUUAUUCAUAUUUCAUAAUGAAUAAAAUUAUGCCUAAUGCAUGGAGUGAUUAAUGGAUAUUGAAGAAAACAAACAAAUUAUGCCUAAUGCAUGGAGUGAUUAAUGGAUAAUGAACCAUCAAAACAAUCAACAUUAUUACUUUGAAGGAAUAUGAGUACAAGAAAAGGGCCAGCAAAAAGAAUACUAUUGAUUGGGAUUGCAACUGCCAACAAGUUUCAAAUCAAGUCGCUACUAAUUCUCUGCGACAAAAACUUGAAUAGACUUGAUCUUGUAGAGGUGGCUCAAAUUUUACUACAUCAUCAAUUCUUUCUUGGGUUGGUGAGAUGGUGUGACAAAAUUUGAGUCACAUAUUCUGCAUAAACCGAGUUUACCUAAGUGUUUGCCAUUCUCUACAGGUCAAAGGUUACUAAUUAAUCUUCAUUAAUACUUAAACAUAGUUGCAUUUUAGUAACUAGGGAUAAUUCCAAAAAAGUCCCUUGAGAUUUUCUAUAAUUUCAUUUAGCACCCUUGAUAUUUUAAAAAUUGCAUCUACCUUCCUUACCCAUUUAAAAUGAUAAUAUUAGCCUUGAAAUUCUUAUGAAACUUCUUUGUCUGCUACUUUGCUAUGCUUAUACAAAGUAUAUGUUUUAUACUUUUUUAUUUUUUCCUUUUGCCUUCUUAUUUAUUACUCUUAUAUUUUGUCAGCUAAAUCACAGUACUAUCAGUCUCUAACCUUCAUCGUGAUGAAAUAUCAAUCUAGUAAUAUUUGUUUAAUAACUUUAACAAUUAUCUAAUUUUUACAACUCUUAUUUGUUUAUUUAUUUUUUUUGGUAUCAAAAUUAACAACAAAUCAACAAUAAAUAAAAAAUAAAUGACCCAAAAUCACUACUAAACUAUGAUAGCUCCACCACUCGAUUAAUCUACAGACUUAAAAAAAAACUAUGAUAACACUCUCUUUUCCAUUUUAAAAAGAAUCUAUAUCUCCAAUAAAUAAAACACUAUUUAAAGUAGCCUAUCAUAAUGUGUCUUAUUAAAUAAUAAAUGUAGCCACCAAAAAACUUGACACUCAUUUCUUUGUAAUUGUACUAAUUACUUUACAAUUGUUUAGACGAAUAAAUAAAACUUUAUUAGAUGAGGACAUUUUAGGGUAUUCACUAAAUUUUUAACCCUAUUUUUAAAGGUUUGGUUAUUAGAAGUGUCAAACUAUGGAAGGUAAGUGUAAUAUUUAAAAUCUUGAGGGAGCUUUAUGAAAUUGCAAGAAACCUCAAGGGAGGUUUCUGAAACUAUAGCUAGUAACUAUAUAGCUGCCCAAUUAGCAGAUAAUAAUCCAUCUCCCACUUAAACCUUCCCGGACUCCACCCUAACAAAAGGAAAUUAAAAACUUUAGUUCUGCAAUAAAAUUCCGUGUUCAUGUUUAUGUUGAACCUGUAUCAAGAAUCCCUGAAUUUCAUAUAUAGCCUAUGAUGUUAUCUCAAAGGACUUGCUAGCUAAAGCUAGGACAACUUGAGGUUUGUUUACCAAAUGGAAAUUCGUAUUCAAAGUCCACUUGUUUUGACUUUGUUGUAUUCAUUUAUCAAAAUGCAAGUUUAAAAAAAAAAAAAAAUUUGCAUGUACAGUUGAGUUCUCCGAUCUUUUGGCGCUGGAGAAGGGUCAACCCAACCUUUCAUGAAACUCAGAAAUGACGAGACUAAUAAAAAGUUUUCAUGGCAUGUUAUCUGCCUCCAAGAUGGUGGGGGCCAAAAUUUUUUUAAAAAAAAAAGGAAAAUUAAAAAACAAAAAAGGAAAAAGAGAAAAGGUUGGUGAUGUGAAGCAACUUCAAAAGCCUUUAUAUCAAUCCAUUUUGGUUUUAUCCAUCUCAUGAGAGAGUUGAAUACUAUUCAUUCAUGAGAGCUUUUCAAUUCUCUACUUUAUUUAUGGUGACACUUCUUGUUGAAUGCUUAUGAUUAGGACAAACUUUCCUAUUAUCUUGAGUGCUUUUUCUUUUCUUUUUUUUUUCCAUAAUUUCAACCACAAUCAUUAUGUGGAUGUGAGCUUAGAAGCAGUGCAGCACACUGUUUCUCAUGAAGUUUUGCUAAGUGAUAGAGACUCCAGUGUUGUAGAUCUUUUUCAGAAUCUUCUGGGAACUCAACCGUGACAGCUUAACCUUUUUUUUUUUUUUUUUUUUUCUGUAUUCAACACAAACUUUGUACAUGUAAUUUUGUAUUGUCAUAGAUUUUUGCAAACCUCCAAACUUAUGAUAUAUCAACAAGAAUUUACAAAGUUUUUUAACAUAUUUGACAGGAUCCUGUAACAUGUAUUUGAUCUCGUUAAUGUAUAUAUACAUUGUCAGUGAAAAAAAAAAACCAGUUCUUCUUCUGGAUACAUGAAAAAAUUUAGGCUCUGUUUGGAUCCACUAGUUUUUCAAAUGGCUCUAUUUGGAUCGUUGAGUUUUUCAAAUACUAUAAAAAUUUUUAAAAAGUACUCUAAAAAGUAGUCUUAAUUUUUUUUAAUGUUUAAAAAAUAUCCCAAAAUAUAUUCUAAAAACUCCACUACUUUUAAAUAUUCCAAAAUAUAUUCUAAAAAUAUUCCAAAAUAUACUCUAAAAACUUUGCUACAGUAAAAUUUUUUAAAAACACCCCAAAAACAGCUAAUCCAAUUUAGUGCUAAAGUAUCAUCAUUGUCCUAAAGUAACUUAAAACCUAAAGACGAUUCUUUAAUGCUUUUCCAAUUUAGUGCAAUGUCUACAUGAACAUUUUUCACCCCACUUGAGAGAAGAGGAGUUCAAAUUGUAUCCUUAUGGCACGCCAAAUUCUCUUCAUUGCCGAGUUUGAAUGCUUUUGAUGCCAAGCGUAUCUAUUAGUGGUCACUGAAUCUAAAUAUAUAUUCCAAGUUUUUUAAAAAAAUGAAGGUUAAUUAUUCCAAGUUAUGAGCUGGGUGUAAGUGGAUCUUUAUGUGUGUGAACUAAUAAUAGAACUUUCUUUCAACCAUAGAGAAUUCAAGAAAGAAAAAAAAUAAAACUGCAAUUAUCAGAUUGUACCUUACUGCUUGGAUACAUUAAUUAUUAAUUAAUAAAAAUGCAGUCAGUCGAACCAUUUAUAAUGGGGUGAGAGUACAGCUCACUCCACUUACCCUUUUUACUACCAAACAAAAGAAUACAAUUAAGAAAAAUGCUUCUUCACUCAUCUCAUCUGGCCUGCUGGCAAGAUAUGUUCUUGGCACCAAUUGGAUUUGAAUAUUAAGCCCCAGAAUUUAUCAUUAAUUUUUUUUUCAAAAAAAAAAAAAGAAAAAAAAAGAAAACUGGAAGCCCAAAGAAGACUAGCAAAAGAAGGUUAAAGAAAAAAGAGGAAAAGAUGAGGAGAAUAUUAAUUUGGAAAACCUGUUUGAACCGAAAUGGCUCAAAGCCUUCUUGUCCUGGCUUCCAAUUCUGAAUUAAAGCUUUUUAAAGUGAAAUCUGGCCUUCUUUUUACACUACUGUGAUUUGAAAGAGAGAGCGAAAGGAUAUGUGGGAACUCGAUCUGAAAGACGGACUGGAAAUAUCUUUUGCAUCAAAACUUGUCCAAUUCUCUUUGGCCUUUCUUUUCAAUAUCAGAAUAUCUUCCACUCAGCCGUUUGGUUUUAAUUUAGGUGUGGUGUGGCCCUUGCAAACCACCUUUCACUUCUUUCUGAGGGCAGCCAUUCCAAUUCCAAUUCCGCGUGUGUAUCGAUCAAAUGGAAUAGACAAAAUUAACUAGAGUCCACAGCACAGCUUGGAAAAGCCAUAUCACUUUCAUGCUCUUUCAAGUUUUGUCUCCAGGAUUCGAAUGGUUUAGUGCCUACAAUUCUACUAUUUAUUAUGCUCCCUCCCACACAACCCUCUUCUCUAAUUGUGUGUGUGUGUGUGUGUGUGUGGUACAAAUACAAUGAAACCCUUCCCUAAUAGUAGUCUCACUUUCUUUGUCCAUCCAAUUUAGAUUCUCCGGACAAAAUCCACUCCAUCUCUGCCCCUCUCCCACAAGCACUAUCUAUAGCUUCCUCUUUUUCUUUUCUUUUUUUUAAAAAAAAUUAAUAAAAAAGAAAAAUAUUAUUAUUAUUAGUUAGAUUGUUAGAAAUCGUCCAACGCGAAUUAUUCUGCAGCAGCUAAAAUGGAACUAUUGUUACAUUCUUUUUCUUUCGGGCAUUGCUUAAUUUGAUCGCAGCAGCAUUGGCCUAUAUGUGGCACGGUUCUGAAAAGUAAGAUAUACAAUACAAGUCAUAAUUUGGUAAUGAUAGGAGCUUCCAUCCAUUAAUUAGAGAAAAAGUUGUCUUGGUGGUCUAACAAGGGGCUCUCUUGACAACGAAAUUGUGGAGCCUAAUGGAUAGUUAGGGUGUUUUAUGUGCACUGACAGUGUAUAUAUACUAUUAUUACUGUUAGAUUCAUGACACAUGUGUAAAAGUUAGAUUUCAAAUUCAAAUUUAGUAUAAUUGUCAUUCAUCCGAAUUCAAAACUAACCGUGUAUACAUUAUUAGUACAUGAGUUCCUUAACUUUGGUCCCGUUAAACAUCAUCAUAUUCAUUUAGGAAGGAAAAAGGAAAAACACAAAAAACCAUAUAAUGAUCUUGUCGUAACACAAUACUACUACCAUAGUUGAAUAAUAAUCUACUUGUUCCCUUUUUGAGAUUGAAGUACCAAAACAAUGCAACACUUGAGCUGAGGAAGUCUCUCCCAAAAUCAAAAUAAUGUAGUACUACUAGAUUUCGUUACCUACUCUAUUUUGUUACCUACUUGUCUGGCCAAACCAUAAGUUCAUCAGCAGUAAUGGUCCCUACAGCACUAGCAAGAUUUAAUACACUAGCAUCACUAUUUGGGACUGUUCAGCAGUUGAAAACUCACCACUCAAUGCUCAGCCCACCACCAUUUGUCUGGUCAGAAUCAAAUAGUAAAUGUACACUGACGCUGUAUUUAUACUCAUCACUCAAACCUAAAUAUGGCUCAUCCGAAAUUUGGAACAUGACACUGGCGUGGGUGCACUAUUCUUGCACAGGCAGAAACAUAUGCAAAUCAAAUGUGCCCAGAUCAGAAUGUGCAGAGGUGACCAUCACCUUAAAUUGGAGGGUCCCAAGUUCCACCUCCCAAUGUCUUCCAAUUAAUCCCUUUACCAGCUUUGCUUUCUUUUCAUCCCAUUUUUUCUGUUCAGCAAUUUUUUUUUUAUUUUAAAAAAGCCCUUUUUUUGUUUUUCUGUUACUCGAUUAACGUUGUCUCAGGCAAUUCCGAUGUUAUUUUUAAGAGUUUUUAUAUAUAAAAAAAUAUAUUAUAAUGAUUUAAUAUUACAAAAUAAAAGAGAUACUAAUUGAAAAUUAUGUCCACGAAAUAAGUAAAAAAACUUUUCUAGGAAGAGCUACACUCCAAAUUCCAUUUGCUUUUUAGGACACAAAAAUUGGACAAAGAAACGCAAUCACUCUACCACAUUUGCUGCUGCUGGGUGCUAACCAUUGCAUGGAUGAAUGGUAAAACUAGUCAAAAAGGAAAACAAAACUAAAACUAAAUUCUCGAGAAUGAAUAAAUUGAAAAACAGAAGAGUCAAAAUUUGGAUUUGGAUUAAACGCACUCACGAAAAACAGAAAUUCAAAAUCUGAAAAAGAAAAAUUUUCAAAAUCUGACGGCCCACGGUCACAUCAACCACCAUGAUCCUCCGAAGCACCGCCAUCCACUUACCUUUGUCCAUUGAAAAAUCAGAACAAAAAAUUAUUUUAUUAUGUUUUGCUAAAAAAAUUUAGAUAUUCCAUACAACUCAAACUGUCAAACGUCAAAAAAUAUCGAAGGUUCUCCCUUUUUUUUUUUUUUUAGGGCUGUCAAAUUAAUGAACAAGAUACAAAAUCAAAAUGAAAAGUUAUAUCCUCAAUUUCCAGGUAUUUUAAGUAAGUAUACAGAGAAUUACAGCGAGGGCAAAACCGUACUUUGGAUAUAUCAACACAUCAAUAUACGUUGACCUGGUCAAAUGUCAACCAUCAAAUACAUCAGCGGUUGUGAUGAAACCGCCCAAAAUCAGCAAGCUUUCUCGAUCUAUUUUUGCAAAACGACGCCGCGUUUGUCAGAGGAGGCUUCACCGGAACAACUCUAAUGUCGCCUGGAACCACCACUUCAGGCGGCAAACCCCCCUUCUGGUUCCAAUGCCGGCUCGGGCUGGCCCGAACCAAUGGACUCAAGCAAAACGUCAUCCCCGAAAGAUUCCUAUUGUGCUGCCCUGGUCUCCCUCCCCCGCCGCAUCGCUUCCCCUGAGCCACUGACGCCGGAGCCCUCCUCGGCGUCUGUUUCCACGCCUGCGAAGACUCGGAAGAGUAUCCGCUCGAUCCAUUAUUACAAUGCUCGUCCUCCUCGUCGGAGUACCUAGCCGGCGACAUUCCACGGUCAGGAUGCCGGCAAACUCUCCGUUGACGUCCUCCGAUCGUCGACUCAUCAAGCGAGAACGUCCGGUUCUGUUUUUUCAGUCGACGGGGGAGAAUUGCGGAGAACCACGACGUCGAAGAAGACGCUGCAGGCCCAGUACAAGCAUCCUGACCCGAACCCGAAGAGGCAUGAUCCGUAUCCACUUUCUCGGAUUUCGAUCUAAAAAGAUUCGCAAACAAAGAAAACCGGGUUCCGCUCUUCUUCUUACUGCAAUAACCGGCGGCUACUAACGUCCCAUUGGGCCCCACUUGAGGAGUACUAUAAAACCGAUGAUCGGACAAGCCAUGACGAUGAUGAUUCUGACCGCAAGGAUCAAUCCACGUCUCCGCACUCGUAUCAGAUUUCCGGCGAGAAAUAUACGGGGAAACGGAACGAGGAAAAAUUAAGGGAGGCGGGUUAGCUUCCGAUUUUCGGCGAUCUUCUUCGGCAGCGGCUGCCGCCUGUUGAGCCCGCUCUUGUGCUGCAAUGAGAACAAAGAGGCGCUCCCGGAGACAAGAAGCGCAGACGCCGAAAGCACUGCUUAAGUCGGUGACGUGCUUUUUGCACUUCAUUUGAGUCGCCGCGCGACGGGCAUAAGCUUGUCCGGCCGGCCACUUCAAGAUUUCUCGGAUUAAGUAAGAAUUUUGGUCCUUCAAGAUUCCUCCCUGCUCUAGUUCUUGAAAAAGCUGCUCAAGUUACUUUUGGGAGAGAAAGACGAGUGCAGAGGUAGCUAGCUGGAGGGCAAUGGAGAGAGCGGUUGUAAGUCUUUUUUUUUAUGUAACAAAGAGGAGGAUUCAUCGAAGGGGCUGUGUCGAUUUCUGAUUACAAAUAAUUAAUGGGAUGUUUUCGGGUUUGGUGAAGAAUUGUUUUUUCUGUGUCUGAUUUUGAAUAUUUUAGUGAUUAAUUAACGGUAUAAGGAAGAAGGAAAACUAAAAAAAAAUGAAAGACGAGGAAGAUGAUGGCAACAUGGAAACUGAGAGGGAGAUGGAGAUGGAAAUGGAAUGACUCAGACUGACUGACUGACUGACUGGCACGGGUUUUGAUUGUUGAAUUGCAUCACACAAAAUGGAUUUAAGAAGAGAGGAGGAGGAGGAGGAGGAGGAGGAGCUGAGGGAGAGGGGAAGGAAGGAGUCAUUUAAUUCGGGCUUUUUGACGAGGGCGGAAAGGGCUAAAGUGACAGCUUGGGUAGAUUCAAUUGGUUAUUACCUUAAAAGACUAUUGAGGCAUUUUGGUGAAUUUUGAGAUUUAAAAUAAUCGGGGUUAACGUGUGUGGAUGAAGAUUUUGUGCUGAAGCAAAUAUUCUCUGUGUCUUUAGUUGGAAAUUAAUUGACUAAAUUCCUAAGAAGUAGUUAAACCUACUCAAAAUUUUAACUGUUGGUGUUUUCAUUAAUUUUGGAUGGUGAUGAGAGAUUUAAAUUUUUUCUCUUUCUAUACAUAUAUACAUAUAUAUAUUUAUAUCUUGCUUCUUGUAUAUAGAACGGCCAAAAAAAAAAUUUAUGCAUGCUUGCGCGGGAAUUUGUCGCGUAUUACUCGAUAAAUUUUAGACACUUUUUGUCUAACGUAAAUCAAAUAUACGUGAAAUUCAUGCACGCUUUGAAGGAAAAUUGUCGUGUAUUACUCGAUGAGAUUUUGAAAUACCUAAUUGCAUCACAAGCAUUUAAAAUGUAUUUCGCGACAUUCAUGGAUUUUUUUUUUAAAAAAAUUUAUAUAAUUAUCCUAUGGCAUUUUAAGAUAUCUUUUUGCAUGAGAAAAGCUCAGAUAAACAUGCAAUUUCUUGACGAUCCUGUGAAGAUACUACAUAUUACUCGAUGAGAUUUUAACAUGUCUAAUUGAAGAAAUAAUUCGAAUGUUCAAGAAAUUCAUGCAUGCUUGUGUGAAAAUGACGACAUUGACAAUGAUCUAUAAUUAAGUGAAGCAAUUUUGGGUUUUUUGCUUGUCUAAGUGGUCAUGUUCCCCACGGCUUAAUCGUUGCUUGGUUUGGGUGGUUUGCUGGUGCAAGCGGGCAAAGUAAUCGUGUGGGUAAUGUAACAUGAAUGAUUUGUUUCAUAUUGUUUAGCACUGGUCAAACUUUUGAGAGAUUAUACUCUACUUUUUACUUUAUGGCUUUUGUUUGUCUGUCGAUCAAGUUUAAAUUCCAAUAGCGCCUACUCCUAACGGCCAGCAACCCGGAGGAUUUGUUCCCUAAUUCUGGCUAUCGUAUUAUACAAGUGUUUUGCAUCGCAUUAGAGAAUGGUUGAGUUGAGUGAUAAAAUAAGAAUAAUUAAAAACACGAAGAUUUGAAUUCAAAACCUCUUUCUUAUUAAAAGAAAAAGCAUCGCAUCGUACGGACUGUGGUGUGCAAAUCCCGGAUUAGACUUUCAUUGUAUUAUUUCAGAUUUUGUAGUUGCGAUAUGUUUUCAACAAAUUAACAUGUAGCUUUUUUAUUGUACCUGUCAUAUAUAUAUGUAUUUAUUUAUUUAUUUCCUCGAUUAUGAUUGCUUCUUUACCUGAUUUAGACAAAGACAUUUCCUUUUUUUUUUUUUUUUGUUUGGGCCAAAAAGAUUUUCUGUAGUUAGAGGACUUGGCGUACGUUAGCUGUUUGUAGGCAUAUGCCCCCCAAAAUAAAAUUUCUGUCUGUAGAACAACACGCAUUGGAUAUCACAACAAUGGCCAAUGUAAGGGGAAAAAGAAAAGAAAAAUAAAAAGUUGCAACUAUCUCCUAUGUUGUGGUUGUAGCCUUAUAUUAAUCAUUAAAAUUUAAACCAAUUAAUAUACUUGGGUAUACAAAAAUGAUGUGUAUUUUUUGUUCUACAUUUUAACUCAUCAAAGUAUGUCCUAGUUCCUUAAUUAAUCUAAGAAUUUAGAUGGUCACGUAAAGAAUGGUUUGCAGGUGUUUUUCGGAUCAACCAUAAAUUGAGUGUGUUUCGGCGUAUUAUUUGAAAUCUCAUUUAGAAUAAUUAAUAUAAUAUUUUUUAUGAUGCAAUAUAUAUGAAAUGAAAAGAUAAUUAAGAAUACAAAAAAAAAAGUGAUUGAAAGAUGUGUUUAUUAUAUCAAUAUAAUAAUAUUUAGAAAAAUUUGACUAUCUAAACACCCGCAUUAUAAAAUUCUCCUAUUAAAUUGCUAACUUUGAGCGAUAUAUAUUUCAAUCCACUCACAACAACUAGCACGUCUAAAAUCCUUUUUGCUCUUAUUGUGAUGUAGUUGGAUGCAUCCGAUCAUGGGGGAAAAAAAAGGCGACCCAAAGGUUUUAUUUUCCGUUUUAUGUGUUUUUAUGCUCCUAGCUCUUGUUAGCAUCACAUAUUUGUGUGCAUGAUAUGUUAUAAUCAUAAAUUUGUUUGAACUUAUUAAGAAGUAUUAAUUUUUGUGAGUACAAGUUACAAUACACGCACAUACAUACAUACAUGUGUGUGUGUGUAAAAAUUGAGAUGACAAUUUUACUCUGUCAUUUUAAAAUGUGCCACAACAUAGAAAAUCUGAAAAUGAAUGUAAGUAAUUCUUUUUAAGGGCAAAAUGCCCCAUUGACUUUCAAACUAUUACGAAAUUUAAUUUUUGAUGCUCAAACUAUUAACUAAUAAGUUUUAACUUUUCAACUAAUUAAAAUAUAUAAUUCUAACCCUUCCAUCAACUUGAGUCGUUAUGUUUAACAAGACAAAGGAUUCAUAAGAUGCUAAUGGCCCUCAAACUAUUGCAAAGUUUCACUUUUGACCCUCCAAUUAUUAACUGAUAAGUUCUAACCCUCCAACUAGUUAAAUGUAUAAUUUUACCCUUUCUGUCAACUUGAAUAGUUAUAUCGAACAGAAACAUCUAUUGAUAAAGAAAUUGAAAUGUGCCCAACUGAGUGUUUGACAAAUCAAAAAGACUUAGAUAUAGUGAUGUAAAGUUUGGAGGAAUCUUACAAAAGAAUUGAUUAUUUGAGAUAUUUAGAAAGUUCAAACUUGAAAAGGAAUUAAUACUUGUUGGAAUUUCCCAGAAAAUCAAUUGUAUGCCAAAUUUAUGUCAUUAAGAAAAGCACUUGAAUCCAAUGAAUUUGGAACAACACAAAAAAUAAGUUAAAUUCCAAAAUGAAGACAACUCAAUCAAUUCAACUUGCCUAUGCUUGCUGAAAUUUCUCUAUUUGGGGUUUUGGAUUUUAGGUUUUCAAUUGAUUUUGGUCAAAUUUCACAAUCGGAGAUUUGGUAAAUUAGUUUAUGAGUCAAAUAGGGGUAAAACAAUUUUAACCUAGCACAUAUCCUGUGAAGAUGAAAACACUCCUCAGUUAUGCCCUUACAGCGUAUGUGGGUGAUGUUUCUGCUCGACAUAACGAUUCAAAUUGACGGAAGAAUUAGAAUUAUACAUUUUAAUUAGUUGAAGGGGUAAAAUUUACCAGUUAAUAGUUGAAGGGUCAAAAGUUGAACUUUACAAUAGUUUCAGAGCCACUUCUACGCAUGUCAUGCCAUUUGUGUUAAAUAUAACGGUUUAAGUUAACAGAAGGGCUAGAAUUAUUUGUUUUAAUUAAUUGAAAGGCUAAAAUUUAUCAAUUAAUAGCUAGAGAGCCAAAAGUUAAAUUUUGUGGUAGUUUGAGGGCCACUAAGACAUUUUGCCUUUUUUUAAUGCCAUACAUUCAUAUUUUAUAUGAGCCCAAUGAGUUCUUCCCAAAUACCUCGGUAACUCAGUCGAGGCUUAGGCAACGAAGAGAAGAUGUUACUAAUUGAGAUGUUUAGCAACAAGGAGAGGAGCGCUUGAAAACUUGGCAAUUUAAAAAAAAAAAGUGCAAAUGUCAAAAUUUGUCACUAAAUUAUUUACUAUUCCUUUUUAAGUCACUAAAUAUUUUUUUAGCCAAAAUUGUCAUUAAACUAAUUAGUACAUGCAUUUUGUAAUGAAAAACUGUAUGUUUUCAUUAGUUGAGUGACUGAAAGUGAAAGUUUUAUUAGUUGAGUGAUCAAAAAUAUUUUUUGUUAUGAAUUAAAUGACUAUUUUGAUGAAACAAAAAGGUUAAUAAUCAAAAUAUGAAAAUUUAAAUAAUUUAGUGAAUAUUUUUGUCAUUUACUCUUUUAAAUUGAUAUUGUCUUAUUACUCUGGUAGAUGUGUUUUUUUUUUCAAAAAAAUAGUAUAAAAUGCAUAAGAGGCACUGAAAGUUUCACUUACAGGAGCAAUUACAAGAUGAUUGCUUAAUUAGUAUCUAAACAUAUCUAUUACAAGAUGACAUGGCGGAAAUCAAAACCAAUUCUUUCACUAUUACUUAAUUAGUAUCUAAACAUAUCUAUUUUGCAUAUUUGUACCCUAACCAAGUAUCUAAACAUUGAUUCGAGCCUAUAGAAUAAUGUCAAAUAGAAAAAGGUUUUGUUUAAUUAGUGCCUAUUGAAAAUCCUUGACAAAAUUUAGAUUUAAAUGGAGAUAAAUCGUAUGGAACAAACAAAGAACUUUUACAUGAAACAAAUCAAUUUUUACCUUUCACUUAUCCAGACACUCCUUGAUAUUUGUCCACCUUACUAGGCAAAUUUGACGAGCUUACAUAUUUGGCAUCUCCGAGAGAUUGAUCCAAGCACAAUGAUUGAGCUCAAGAUCAUUGACGAUUAAUCCAGAAUAAGUAUAGUUAAAGCAAAAUGAAGGAAAAAGUACACACUUUUCCUCAUGAAUUGGACGGAAUUAUUUUCUUUUAAGCGCAUUGGAUGAAAUUAUAAGUUCAAAUUAAUGCACAGUUACUUCAUAAAUACCCGUCCGUGUUUGGAUACCAAAUUAUUCCAAAUAAUAUUUCGCUUGCAUCACAAACACAUAUACUACCUUUUUAUAUUCCCAAUCACCUUUUUAUCUCACAUAUAUCGUAUCACAAAAAGUGUUACAGUAAUUAUUCCAAAUAAUACACUAUCCAAACAAAUUGUUUUUACAACAUUUUUUUUUUCAACUUUCCUAUCUUUCUCCGAAACUUAAUCAUGACAAAAAUUUCUAAGCCACAGAAUUUUAUGUAAGCAUGAGUUGAACUUUGUAACUGCAUUCUAUACAGGACUCGUUCCUUUCAUCAGCAGCAGCUUAGUUUACCUGGCAUGUGUGAGACUAGCUUUUAGAGAAUAAUUCAAUAGCCAAGUCAAAGAUGGAUGUUUGUGUACUCCAGUACUUUUGGAAAUGGAUUUGUACAAACCAGCCUUACUUAUCAUACAUUGAAUUUCAAGCUUUCCCAAAUUUUUGGUUUUUCCCUUUCUAACUUUUCUAGACUCUUGAGUUUCCCGUGAUUUAUUAUUUGACUUUUCUCUGGUUUAGGAAAAAAAAAUUAAUGAAACAUAAUAAUGACUUCCAAAGGAAUUUUCAUUUCUAUUCAGGACAAAGAUAAAAACCACUUUAAUUUUCUUAGAUCAAGGACCUGCCCAAAAAAGAAAAGAGUGUGAUAUUCUUACACGACAUAUUCAAAAGCGAUCACUUCUUCUUCUAUUUUGCCUAAAAGCGUGAUUAAUAUUUCAUAUUGAUGAAUCAUUUUCAUCAACAGGUUCAGAAUUUUCUACUAAUUGGCUGUUAGUGAUCAUAAUUAAACAAGAGGACUUUUUUAAGUGCAACUGACAUGAGAUGAUAGAAAUCAGAUUUUGGCUUUCGUAUUUUGUUGGGUAGUCAGGGUCAAUUUUAAUUGUUAAGUCUAUUCUUUCACGAUGAGCUAUUGACUUUACAUUUCUCAUUCAAAUUUAGUGGACAGAGCAAUCAAAUAAAUGUUAGAAAUUGCGAAAGAAUAGUCAAUGUGUCCCCACAAUUGUUAUUCUUGCAAUCCUAAAAGUUAAUUAACUCUAAACUGGACCACAAUUUUUAGGCAUUGAAAUCUUACGACCCACUAAAAGAAAUUACCUUGCAUGUUCCUAUGUUCACUUCGAAUUAUGUCAUCAAGAACUUAACACAGAUUAGUCACUGUUUGGUCAUAAACACAUUCACAGACAGUAAACCAAUUGUUGCAAUUGGGUGCUUGGUUGGUUAUAAGUAUGUGGUCUAAUUUUUUGAUGACUUACACGAGUAUCACUCUUUCAAUAUUUAUAUAAAGAAUUUUCGAGGUUUUGAAGAGAGUAUAAUUAACCUUUAUCUAUGUCCAAAACACACAAAAAAAAGUCUUUUAUAUAUCUCUAUCUUUUUUAAAAUCUUUUGUUGGAGCAAAGUGCGUAUUAAUUUGACUGAGGGAGACAAAAUCUAAUUGGGUGGAAGAUUUUGGGUGUCAAAUGUAAUAAACUAAAAUUUGUUUGUGCUUAUGGUAUGCACUUUUUUUUUGUUAUAUUCUUUUAAAUACAUAAUUGGAGCAUGUUCAAAUCGAAGCACAUUCUUUUUUUGGCACAAUUAAUUGACAAAAUGUUGAAGUUUAUUUAAGGGACAACAAUAAAAAGGCAUGCUCUAUUUUAGUCAAAUUAUACUUUUCUUAAAUUAUAUACUUACAAGAUUGAUCAUGACAUAUAAAAUGAGACGGAGGGAGUAUUUAUUAAAAAAGUUUCAAGUUUCCCAGUGGUAAUUAAAGCUAGAGUCAAGCCUGUAUUUACCUUCAAAACCAAUCGGUUUACUGUGCUAUGCUAUCUCUUCGGUUAAUAAAUUUGAUAAUACCGUUGCAUCACUUAAAAGAUCCUAAAGUAAAUUCGCCUCAUGAAGUGGUACUUGGCCGUAAUUUUUCUUAAUUAAUGUCUAAUAAUUUGAUGUGAACAUUCCUAAUGACAAAGAUUAACAAAACUAGCAGAUGAACAUCCCGAUACCAUCGAGCUUAUAACCCUCCAGACAUUAAUUAUCAAUCUCGAAAACAUGUUUCAAUGCAUAAACUAGAUUCAAGAUUAAAAGUUGUGCACUUGACUCAUACUCGAUUGUUGUGAAUUUGGUUUUUAUUUCUUUUGUUUGGUCUCAUUUAUGUUCUAGGUUAUUGAUAUUCAUCUCAUAGCUAUGUUCCAUAUAUAAAUGGCAUAAGCUCUAUCUUCUUCUUUUUUUAAACAAAAAAGUCAAAAACCAGAGUAAUAAAUUCAUUGCUGGAAAAAGGUUACUUUCAUCAUUCACAGCUUUAUCCUAGAAGCAUUGCAGAUUUGCGUGGUUGGCAUAUCCCAGAAAGCUGCGUAUUGCAUAUUUUGCAACUUUGCAUUACGUUUUCUUUAAUUAACAUUACUCGUUUUAAACGGGAAAUGGAUAGAAACAAGAAACAUUAAUAGAUUUUAGAAUACAAGAUAUACAGACAAAUAGAAGCAUCGAAAAGCAGCCUAGGCGAUAGUCAUCAAAAGGGGCGACACAAUUAUCUUAACACUGUGAGAUGUGACGACAACUUUGAGGUUUUCAGGAUGUGGGUACUUGGAGGUUUUCUAUCCUUUCAUUUUCUCACUCAAGCUAAACGUGUACUUUUCAGUAUGAUUAUGUAUAUUGGCUUCCUGUUUGUUGCAGAAAAAUGAGUUUGCAGUUAUUGGUGAACAAAUUGCUGUCUUUUCUUGACCUUUUCUACUUGGAACUGCCCUCUUAAUUUGAUGGCAUCCAUUCAUUUUAAGGGCAUGCAACUAGGUUUUUCUUCGCAUCACCCCAAAAGAAAUAAGGGUUUUUCUCAUGUGAGAUUGUCAAGGAUUUGGACCAAAUAAAUUACUACUUCUUGGCAUAUGUGUGACUUGUUGAAAGGCUCGAACCCUAUGGAGUAUUGCUUUCUUUUGACAAUUUGUUUAGAGCCCUAUUCUUGAGGGAAUGAAGGGAUGGCAGGCAAUCUAGGGAAUUACAGACUUGAGGUCUUCCAUCCUUUUUUUUUUCCCUGGAAAAAAUUAUCUUGUUUGGUUAAACUUUUCGAGUGGUGAACUGAUUUUUCAACUAUAAACAAGAAUAUAAUAAAGGUGUAAAAAUCUGUGUGAUCAGAUGAUUCAGAGCUGAAACUUCCACCCGAAAAUCUUUCAAACGUUGCUUCAAUAUGCAAGUCAUACGAGCAAGAAAUCGACCUUCACACCACAAGCCAAAAAUGCGUUCUAUUUUAUGUUAUUUUAUUUCUUUAGGCAGGCAUAUUCUAGUACAACUCUGAAAACAUCGCGUCAGUUCAUAAUUAGAAAUCAGCAACGUACGCGAUGGACAAAUGAACACGUAUUACACACUGGAUUCCUGCCUUUUAUUCAGUCAAAGGAAGGAAAACCGAUCGUAGUAUCAAGCUGCUAUCAAGUAGUCUUAAUCAAGAUCCUUCUUGGUAAUGAGCUUCCAUGACGGCAGCUGCAGCCUGCAGGAUGAAUAGGAGUAGGGAUUUUUGGAGUCAACGUGGGUGGUUUACAACUUUAUACGGGAAGAAAAGACUGCUAAAUGCUAAUCGUAAUCUAUGUCUCUGGACUUUUUGCUUGCUUGACACUUCAGUUUAUUAGCUUACGCUAAACUAUGAAUUGGUCAACAAGGAGUGCUGUUGCGGAGUGAAAGUGGAUAUUUUUCAGUAUGUUCACAUUGCUAUCCGUUGUAAGUUCAGUUGCCAACUUCCAAUUAAUUUCCAGCUUUGGAAAAAUCUGCCCCAAGGACAAUAAAAUAGGAGGGCGCUUGUUAACGUGCUUAAAUUCUACGUAAUCUGCCAUGUAUAUGCAUAUAUUAAUAAUUAAUAUCCCUUUUUACAUUUAUAUAUAUUUUUUAAAAUUAAUUCUAUCUUUCUAAAAAUCUAACACUUGAAAUACAUCUUAACGAGUGUUCAAUGAGCACCUGUUAAAUAGCUAGAUUCUUUAAAAUAUGUUAUAGUUCUGCAAAACAAGAUUGUUCUUACAUCCUUGAGCCAAAUAUUUGCUUAACUAUCAGUAGAUUGGGAUUUUGGGAAGAAAGGAAAAGAAGAAAAAAAAAUGGCAAAUAUUUCUCUCAUAUGAUUGACAGUUUAGCAAAUGAACUGGGAAUUUGGAUGGACAUUUGCAUCUUCAUUCAAACAUUAGUCACGAGACUUGGUGUCAGUCUUCUCUUCUCACUUCCUCCGGUCAGUGUAUGGUAGAAAAAUGCUUCAAUAUUACGAGAAAAGAAAAAGAAAACGACCUCAACAUUCAAUGCUCUUGCAUAUUUCUCUCAGUUAAGCACUGGACAAUCGAAAACCUCCUGAUAUACACUUCUAAUUAGGACCUCAUUUUCGAUCAAUAUAACUUUGUCUAACUCCCAUCCUCCUCCAACUCCAUGUGGGCCAAAAUUAAUGAGCUAUUUAUUUCUUUUCUUCUUCCUUAAAGCGACAUCCUGCCUAGCAAUGCCUCACAGGCUAUACAUACAAUCCUUAUCAUUUACCAAGACGAGUUUUUGUAACAGGAAAGAACCCAAUGUAAACACUGGGAAUUGAAGCAUAUGACCUAUAAUCCAGUUUGUAAAAUCAGCAUCAACAGUUCAAUCUUCUGUAUUAAAGCAUAGCAAUACAUUGUCAGAUAUGAAUCUUUGGCAUCUAACCAUUAUUGAUGUUUUAUGGGAAGUAAACAUCAUAUAUAUGUUCUUGUCCCUGAAACAAGGGGAGACAUAUACCAUCACAUUACCAUUAGAAGGAUUUAUAGGCAAACAAAGAAAAAGUCCAGGGCCAUACACCAUCCAUUGGUGGUAAGCUAUAUAUCGUCGUACCAAUAAGUAAUGUCGGGAAGGCCAUUACUCAUUCCAACGAAAUAAAUUGGUGUGUUGUUUGAAUGGUGGCACCUCGGUAGCAGUAGGUGAGAUGUUACCUAACUUGUGAAUGAGCAAAUUGAUAACUGCUCAUACGCUAUAAAUUUGCCCACAUUAAUUAGAUUGGGAAUUUGCAAUUUGUACUCGAUCAAUUGUUAAUGAACACAAGAAAACAUAAGGUGUCAUUACGUGUUUACUGAACUGCAAAACUUUGACUAUCUCCUACCCCUUUGUGUCCCGAAUAUUGCCAGUAUAAUUGGGAUACAGAUACAAUAGUUUCAAUUGCAGCUACCUUUAGGAGGAUAUGUAAGCCCUGGUCAUUAAAAUAAAGUAUACAAGUCAUGGCCAUUGGCCAAUAAUAUCAUGCACAAAAAGAUGGAAACAUGCACGGAUGUUUGUGGGGUUAUAAUUAUUUUAUCUCAUUUUCAAAAUAAUUUUUGGAGAUUCACAGUGUAAUUUUUAUCAUCUAUUUUUUAGAUAUGUAGUAUUUUUCAGAUCCGUUCUUUGAUAUUUAUAAUGUUUGAUGAUAUGACUUUUGCCAUCAAUGCAAAUUUUAAUAAAAUUAUGAUGUUUUACUUUAAAAAAAAAAAAAAAGUCAUGUCGAUUAGCCAACAAUAUCAUGCUCAAAAAGAUGGACGCAAGAGUCUAAUUUAUUUUUUGCAAAGGGCGUUUGAGCAUGCAUUUAAGACUUCCUAUGCAAUUAAUUUCUGUGUCUACAACACAGACUACCGCAGACCUCCACUGCAACACAGACACACACACACAAGCACUCACUCUUCCAUAAUGUCCUGCUUCCUCAGUAAGUGUUGGGACACAAAAUACCAAAUUCCAAAGGGCCCUUUCCACGAGAGUGAUAGGAAGAACUAAAAUAAGCACUUAUAUACAGCACCAAUUUGGUGUUUAUAGAUGUGGUUUGGUAUAGCCGUAUAGCACUAGCUUGCAUGAUAUGCAUCAAUUGUCUUGCUGUUACAUUUAUUCUUAUACUAAUUUCAGUCACCAUCAGCUCCAUCACUACCAUUUUCCAUGGUAGUAAUUGAUUUAUCUAUUUAUGGUAGAAUUUAUGAGGGAUAAUUCCAGAUUGGAACCCAAAUCAAAUUCUCGGUGCCACUUAACCAGUGACAACUCGAUGCCGCUCGUUCAUCGAAUGCCAAGUGUUCAAUUAAUUUAAAUUAAAAUUAAAUAUCAAGUGAUAAUUUAAAUUAACUGGACACUUAGCAUAAUUUUAGGAAUCGCACUAAGUUGCCACUAUCUUAGUAGCAAGACUAUCUCAAUUCAGUCAAUUGUUUGGAACCUAGGGCUCGGUCGACUUUCUCUCUUGUUGCAGCCGUGAUUCACGGAAGACGGAAGAAAAUAGUUUAUAACAAAAUAAUUUCCAAGCAUAAGAGAUGCAAUGUAUGGUUGGUUUAAAUGGUGAUUAAUGACAUUUAUAUUUAUAUAUUUCCGGUAGAUGGGUAUAGGACCUUCCAAUCACUACGGUUCUCUAUAGUUGGAUGUCUAUUCUAUUGUAUUGAUAAUUUGAGUCAUUGUAUUGCUCUCUUACUUGAACAAGCUUUCAUUGACUUGAGAUUUGGAUUUAUCAAAAAAUUAAUUAUCUUUCUAAGACAAAAUCACCACGUUUUAUGAUAUUCAAGAAGGGUAGAGCUGCUUCUACCAAGCAAUUGAAUGUCAAAUUAUAAUCAAGCUUAUUUAAUAACUAAUCCUAAACAAACCCUCAAUGAAUGGAGCUUGAAUAGCUAGGUUCAAAUAUUACCCACAUUGUUUCGAUUAUAUUCUGGAUUAUCCAAAAAGGGUUUUGAUCAAAUGUGCUUCUAGACCGUAAACUUUUCAUGGAAAUGUUUUUUUUUUUUUUAAGAAAUGAAAAAGGACCUUUUUUCUUUGUUACGAAUUUCACAAUAAUAGGAUACUAGUAUUUAUCCAAAACUUUCACUUUAUUGAUUUUUUUUUCUAUUUUUUGCAUAUGAAUGAGUUCUAAUUAUUAGAAAUAUGCAAAUUUUUUAGGUGGACAAGACUAAUAAAAUGUUGGCUCACUAAACAGCUUAAACUAAAAUGGAAGCUGAGUUAGUAAUCUGUCAUUCUCCAAUGCGGACAAAUUGGAUAAAGUUAAGGUUAGAUUGAAUUAAUUAGUAAGCAAAGAUGGAAGAAUCUUCUGGCUGUCUUUCUUAAGCUAAGACAACGAAAGAUGGAAAGAGUAGGACCAACCUAAAAAUUUGAUAUGAAAUAUAUACAACGUUUUAUGAACUAUGGUAGAAGCUUCUUUUGGUUUAGACUAAUGAAAAGAUUAGUCAUUAAUUUCUUUUCUGUUUUUGUAUGAGGAAAAAGAUAUGAUCAAGGAAAAUGCAAUCCUAGUAUUUUCAACUAUUGAAGAGAACUCAGGGCUAGUUUUUUACUUCACAAUUUAGACCCAUUUCUUAAGGCUUGUUAGAUCUUUAAAUUGUCUUAUGACGAAAAGUGAUUUUUUUUCAAUAAAAAGUCUAAAUUGGCAAUUUAUUUGAAUAAUUGCCAAAAGAUUGUGAUUGUAGUCGUAAAAGCAUUUUGUGCAAAGCAUAAGGCCUUGUCUUGCUUAUUCACCCGGAAUAAAUUCAUAUAGUUAUCAAGCGUAGGGAAGGAAUGAAAUAUUCCUUCGGUUUAUGAUAAAUAAAAACGAGAAAAUUUUGGUCAAAUCCGAAUUUUCUUGCUUAACCUUAAGUUAAUUCAGGGUGCGUUUGAUAAAAUUGAAAUUUGAAAUAUAAAUUCAUUAAAUUAUUGAAUUGUCAAAUACUAAAUUUGAUACAUUUAAUUGUACAUCACAUUAAGGACAAGUGAAUAAUUUGAGAACAAAUUUUGUCUAAAAAAUUCAGUAUGACUUAAUUAAUUCAAAUGUUUAAUUUUUAGCUAUCAAACGCAAUUGAACAUAUUAAAAUCUGAAUCCAUUAACUUUGAGUGUUGAAUGAGAUUAUCAAACAAGACUUGACUUUGAUAUAAGGACAAAAAAAGUCCAAUCCCUCGUCUAGUUUGAUUACAUUUAAGUUUAUUGAAAAUAAUAUUUUACGAUUAAUAAUUCAUUUAUUUUCAAACCGACGCAUUCACCAUCUAUCAUUUGAUUGAUCUAAAGGCCCACAGAAGGGCAGGCCUAACGUUUGUUAGCAUCCCAACUGGGCCUGGGCCUGGGCCUGGAAACUCUGUUUGGAUUGUAAAUUAUUUGAGAUAUUUUUACUGUAGCACUUUUUGUGAUGUGAUGUCUGUGAGAUAAAAAGGUAAUUGGGAAGAUAAAAAAGUGCGUUGAAAAUUGUAAUGAUGAUGUAAGCAAAUAAAUUUUGGCUAAUAAAUCUCUAUCCAAACAAAUUAAUUUAUUACUUCAUGGUGCUGUGCCUAUCAUGACACCCAGAAGAAUGCACAUUGAAUAUUUCCAAAGCGAGGGAAAAUUUUUCGUCAGGAUUUGUUAGCAAAGGUUGUUGUUGAUCUUGUGAUUAGGAGUAAUUCUUUUCUGGGUUUGUUUGCUGACGUAAUGCACAUUGCUUAUCCCUAGAUUCGGAGUCCUUCAACUCUUGUUUCGGCAAGAGAACAAAUAACAUUUACAGAAACUUCGAAUUCGGCUUUGUUUGGAUGGUGGCUUACUUGCAACAUGUUAUAUAAUUGCAUCAUCAGCAUAUUUCUUAAUCAUUUUUUUAUUUUAUAUAUAUUAUAUUCAAAAAGUGCCACGAUGUUUUUUUUAAAAAAACUAUCUCAAAUAAUCUAGUGUCCAAACGUCAACACAAAAUUAAUAAAAGAAAUCCACUGAGCUUUAUUUGGAGAGAAAGAGGAUACUUUUUUUUUAUGAAGAUUUGUUAUAGAGGUCACUUAUGUUGAUUUAUCUACAAAUUGUAUGUUCAUUACGUUAUUAUUUCCUUAGUAAAUUGUGUUCGUGCAAAAAUCCUUUAGAAAGAACGGUUGAAAAGAGUGUCUUUUUUUUUGAAUUUUCAAAGAUGUAGCUCAACAAAGAAGCCAUAUUUAACCACAUGAGCAUUUGUAACCCAAAAAAAAAGUGUCAUCUUCACUUGUUAUGACUGCAAACCACUGUUAAUAAAAGCACAAGACAAGUAUGAUACAAAAUAUGAUAAGAAUUUUUUUUUAGAAAAGUACGAUUAAAAAUUUGGCGCAAAAAGAAGUAUUCACAAAAUUAGACAUAUAAAUUUGUGUACGAAUAUAUUUGAAAGUUGUGAAACUAAAAAUACAAUUAAAAUUAGAAGAUAGGUCAUUGAUCUUAUUCAAAUUUUUAAAUUUUUUUUCAAAAUUAUUUGUGAAGAAUAAUUCGUGAAGUAUAAUACGUCAAAAGUUUAUUACGUGUUUUAUACGAUUAAUUAAAAAGUAUGAAUAUUUGGAUUCCAGAAUAAUUUUAAAAUAUAUAAAAUAUAAAUUUUUUUAUUUAUACAUAUUAACAUGUAUUAUACAGGUAUAAUAAGAGCAUUUACUAACUAGUCUUCAAAUGCUCCUUUUUUCCGUAAAUUAUCCGUGGUCUAAAAAGAACUAAAAGAUUGAAAAAAAUCUAGUAAAAAAUGGUUUAUCUUUGUUUAGCAAUUUGACUGUGCUUGUGAAAACUUUUUUUUUUAACUUGUGCUUGUAAAAUAUUCCUAUCAAUUGCGAAAUUAGUUACCUCAAUCUAGGGCUAGAAACAAGUCGAGUCAAAUCGAAUUUUAGCCAAAUCGAAUCGAUUCUCAAUUUAAAUUUAUCAAUCUCGAGCUUGAGCAUAAAUAAAUAAAAAAUAAUUAUUUUAUUUUUAAAAAAAGAAUAACAUUGUAAUUUUUCAAAAUAAAUAAUAAAUUAUUAAAAAUAUAUAUAUAAUUUUAAUAUUUUAAAAAAUAUAUAUAUAUUUAUAAUUGAAUCUAUUUGCGAAUUAACGAAUUAAGUCCCUUUAAAUUCGAGUUUGAAUUUGACCUCAACUUGGCGAGCUCCAAUCCGAUUCAUAUUCGGUGUUGAUCAAGUUCGCGAUCCUGCUCGCGGUCCGCUGUCGCGCGGCUCGAACAACCAAAGUGACUGACCAAUGACGACAAUGCGCGUCCGUUGACUUCAUUCCCUAACAAUUCAACGACAAAAAAAAAUCAAAUCAAAUCCCCUGUAAAGUGUCCAACGAUUCAGGCACAGCGUACAACACCCCACUGCGGGGCAGCCGAGCUCGUCAGAGCCACACCACUCUUCAGAGCUCAAACUUUCUUUCUGACACUCGUUUUCUGCUCAUAUUUCUUCUUCUAGACCGCUGUCGUAAAUUUCCAACUUUCCACGGACCGGAAUUAGGGUUUAAGACCUUGCACACGUAGUUUUAGCUUGGUUUUCUGAUCGAAAAUGUCGAACUUUUCGCGUAAAUUGAGGUUAUCAUCAACGCUGUUGAAGCGUUUGCAACAAAAUGUUAUCGCGGUAAAUUCGAAGAACGUGUGUAGAUCUUUUACCACGACGGAAGGGCAUCGUCCGACCCUUGUUCAUAAACGCAGUCUCGACAUUCUUCACGAUCCAUGGUUCAACAAGGUUAGACGAAGGAUCUUAUCUGUUUUGCUUUUUUUUCUCUUGGUUUGUUUCUUAAUUUUCGCAGAUUUACUAGUGAUUCUAGUUGUGAAGCUAAGAGCUUUAUUUAUAAAUGCUUAACUAUGCUGAGAAACAUUUGAAUUUUUCGACCUUCGUGUGCUUCAAUUAUUUAUGAUUUGCUGGAUUGAGAAUGAGCUUCUGGCAGCAGCCGAAGACUGUGAGCAGUUGCAGAUUGUAAGGAUAUGCUUCAACAGUAGAAGUGGUUGUACACUUGCACGAAAGAAUCUCCAUAACUCAAUUGUGCAUGACUCAACUCUAGCUUGGCCAUCUUUUUUCCCCUCUUUGGGGUAUAUUGGAGUAUACUGCCAUUGGCUUAUUUGAAGUUUUUAUACUUGGCUAGAUGCUUACUCAAAAUUCCGAGCAAAGUCUUAGUUUUGGAUUGUCCUUUCGAAAGUAGGGAAAAGGAGCUUUUACGAUGAGUUACAUCUGUCAAAUGGUUAUCUAAAGUUUACAUAAUAGCAUGAAUUGCUGAAUGCUAACUGAACUCUUGAGUUAUAAUUCUUAAUUGAGUUGUCCUUGUGGAAGUAUAAUAUUUAUCUUAAAAUGUGGUAAUCUUGGGCAAAUGAGAUUUGUUGGCAAGUAAAUUUUGACAAAUCUUUGGGUUUGGAAAGCCUUUAUUAAUGUUUAUAAUUGCAUCGGAAACUCUUGAACCAUGAGAAGUGACUCGGAGUAGGAAGAAAGUUGCUUGAAAAAUGGGAAGGGAACUCAAACCAGUUGUUCAGUUGUUGGUUUUAACACAUUGGAAGACAUACUAGUGCUCCAAUUUCAUAUGGAGUAGAGAUAUGAUGCACAUUUCUCAUUUCUAUUAUGAUCCUCUACAGACUCUUAUUUAACAUAGAAUGUCUCUUGACACUUGUACAUGGUUCAAGUCUUCAAUAGUUGCAUGUUGUUGAAUACAAGAUGUGGCUCUUCGUGGUCCAAGGUUUGAUUUUCUCAAGGUGUAUGAAGAAUUAAUUCCUUGCUUUAGAUCUGGGAGUUUAUGCUCUUUGAAUUCUGAAGUGAGUAAAGAGUGCAUAGUUUUAGCUUCUUACAUAGUCGUGUUUCAAAUGCUAGGGAACAGCAUUCUCAAUGACAGAACGUGAUCGCCUUAACCUUCGUGGGCUUUUGCCUCCAACUGUUAUGUCUUCUGAACAGCAAAUUCAGCGCUUCAGUAAGUCUUAAUCGAGUGAUAUUUCAUAUGCAAAUGGAUAAUACAGGAUUUCCAUCCCAACAGGAAGUAAUUGAUUAGUUUUGUGUAGAAAAUUCGUGGGAACUAAGUAAAUCAGAUUAAUUACUCAGUUGUUAAGAUUGAGAUGUUCUUGAACUUUAAGUUUCAGGCAAGAAGAAAGUCGGUUUUCAACUUAGGUAGUUUAGGAUCAGAUAUUACAAAACAGAGGGCUAUGGUUCUUUUAAUAUUUGUUAUUAAAUUUUGUUAUUUAGUCUCAAUAUGCUUUAGCCAUCCUAGUGAGAAUUUGACUUCCUUUUAGGCUACCAGCAUUUUUUAUGCCACGUAAAGUCACUUGACCUUUCAAAAUCAGACAAGUUCUGUAUUAUAAGUUGUUACCCCUUUGCAUUUUAACAUUCUCGGAUAUCCAGUAGAUUCUGAAACUUCUAUUGUGUUGCUGAAAAGUGAAAAGUGUUGUUUUUUAUGGUUGUCUCUCCUAGAUUUUUAGUUGCUUCUCUAACUUAAUAGAGCUUUAUCUUGUUUUAGGUUUUAAAAUUGAGAUAAAGAUGCUUAAUUUUUUUAAUGUUGCCUUAUAAUAAAUAAUUAUCUAGGCUUGUAUUAUUUCUGAUUUCUUCUUGGACAACAGUGGCUGACCUCAAAAGACUUCAAGUCAAUGCUAGAGAUGGACCAUUUGAUCCAAAUGCUUUGGCCAAGUGGCGCAUUCUCAACCGCUUGCAUGACAGAAAUGAGACUAUGUAUUACAAGGUUGGUGCUUAUAGUACUGCUUUCUAUUUAUCUUGCUUGAAUUUUUUCAAAUAAGAUGCGAGGUUACUAACUCUGGACUCGACUUGUUGGUUUGAUCUGUUAGAGUUGAAUUUUAUCCAAGAUAUACUUUAAAUCUAGGUAUUUCAAUAAAUUCAAAACGUAUGAGGAUAUAGAGAUGGCAAAUAUUGGUAAUAAAGGAAAACCAGAGCAGUUGUACACUCUGGAAUUUCCUUUUUUUCUUGUUUUCUUUUCUUUGAGCAUAUCUUUUUUUAUUAGGACCUGUUUGCUCAUCUAAUCAAGUGUGAAAUCUUUGCCACGUGCAAUAGCUUGAAUCAACAAUUCAACUCCAACAGCAUCUAUUUUAAUUGCAAUUGUAACAGCUGUGUCAUAGUGACAACUUAGUUUUGGCUGAUGACUAGCUCUUUCUUGGUUUUGUGCUGGACAUAUAUGAUUGGAGCUUUCACAAACCUUCUUCACUUGGAAUUAUGCAAUUUCUCUACUAUAAUUUUCCAUUUUCUGUUGUGCCAAGGCAUUUUGCUGAUUGUUGACAUUUGAAUUUUCCAGAGGCAAUUUGGAUUCAUAUUCGUAGCUCAUUUCAAUGCUGCACAUGUUGAACCAGAGAUUUUAAAUGAUGUUGACAGGUUUUAAUUGACAACAUUGAGGAAUAUGCACCUGUAGUUUACACCCCUACUGUAGGUCUGGUGUGCCAGAAGUAUAGUGGAUUAUUUAGACGACCAAGAGGAAUGUACUUCAGUUCAGAAGAUCGUGGAGAAAUGAUGUCAAUGGUAUAUAAUUGGCCUUCUGACCAGGUUUGUAGCACUUCUGGAUAUCUAAUCCAUUGGGAAGUUUUUAUAUUCUGGCAUGAAUUUAUUUUGUUGAAUUGCCAUUACCAAUAUUUUGUAAACCUUGAAAUUAGUGGACCAAAUUCAGGAAUUAUGAAGCUUCAGUAGUAUUUUGUGAAACUUUGCUCAUGUAGUUUUCAGUAAAAUCUUGUUUGUGAUUUAGUUUAAGUAAAAGUUAAAAUGUACUGAUGUGUGAUCUUUUGCUGCAGGUUGAUAUGAUUGUUGUCACUGAUGGAAGCAGGAUUUUAGGUCUUGGAGAUCUUGGAGUUCAGGGAAUUGCAAUUGCAAUAGGGAAGCUGGAUCUUUAUGUUGCUGCUGCUGGAAUAAACCCUCAGAGAGUAUUUUCUUACUCUUAUGUAUCCAGCUGUAUUUGAUGACUGCAUUGGAUUUGUGGAUUAUCAAAUGAAUUGGGACAUGAUGCUGCUGCUAUUUCUUCAUUCUGUUGUUGGAUAAGCUUUUAAGAUUUCAUGACUAGGACUCAUUGACAUAACAAAUGGAAAAAGUGUCAUGACGAGCAAUAGAGUAAACAGUUUAGUUUUUUAAAAUUCUCUCAUAAUGUUAAAGAAGGUUUUGCAUUACUUGAACAGGAACUUCAAAUCUUAAUGCUGAAAUCUUACGAGCAAACAAGAGGGUAUUCACCUGCUGUAUAGCCUACUCAUAUAGAAGCUCAAUUUUUUUUUUGUCUUGACUAUUCUAAAGUUUAUGCCACUCCCUCUUUUGGAUAUUAAACUCACUUAUAGGAACUCCUACCUUUUAUUAAAAUGCCACAAUGUUGCUUUUGAGUUAUUCCAGCUUGCCCUCAUGCCCAAUGAUAACUAGUCAUUUUGAUUUGAGGAAAUGGUUGCCUUGAGGUCUCAUUUCAUGUAUUGGCGGAAUGAAACUUCGGACUCGUUUUGGUGUAGUUGGAGUGACGCAGAUGUGCCUACCCACAUAACAGGAUUGUUAUGCGCUCACUAUAUUGUAGAUUAAAAAAUUUUUACAUGUGCCCCACAUAAAGUAAUCUAACAUCUUUUCAAGACUCAUUUAAAGGUAAUAGUAUAAAAGAAACAAAAUUUAGUGCAGCUCUAAUUUUGCUGUAGCAAAAAAGGUGAAAUAUGACAUUAGCAAUGAGAUUAUAACUGCUGAAUGUCUAGAAUUAAAUCAAGAGAGUAGUGACUUUAAGACUUCUGUAUCAGUUUUAUGCUGACUUUCUUCAAUCUUAUCCUUGGUCUUCUCAAAUUCAUUGUCUGCACUUUUGCUGGAGUUGCCUUUCACACGCCAUCAAAUGCCUUUAGGAGAGAGUUCGUUGACCAUCUUGUGUUGUUUCCUGAAAUUUUCAACUUUUGCUCUAGUUUAUGCUGUAAACUGAAGUUCAUGUUAUAUAUUCGCAAGUUGACCAAUACUUACAUGUGCUUCUAUUUGACCCCCUAUAGGUGCUUCCAGUUAUGAUUGAUGUAGGAACUAACAAUGAGAAGCUUCUUCAUGAUCCUUUGUGUAAGUGUGUUCUUCUCCUACAUUUGGAUUAAGCUACUGUCCAUUAUUUUAUUGCUUGUGACCCUUUUCACUUUGUGUGACUCUUGGAACAUUGGAACCAAAAGGAACUUGGAUUAGUGAUUUUGUCAUUAUCUCUAGAAAAGAUUAAGAGUAGCUUUCCUAUCGUUAAAAGGUGGUGAUCCAUGAAGCUUAAGCCAUAUUUGUGUUAGUCUAUAGAGCUUUACUGGAUACAAUACAAAUUUCUAAAGACUUCAGUUAUAUGUGUUUUGAGCAUGAACUUUUUACAUUGCUCCAUUGAUAAUCCUUAGAGUUUCUGAGUUUCUUUAAAUGCUGAGUCUAGAUUGGAGCAUCCAACAAGGUUCUUUUCUUAUAAAAGAAUUCUAUAUGGUUUUGCAUGCUUACAAUAAUACAUGCAUUGUUUUAACUGUGUCAGUGGAUCAUAAAUCGUACCUCAGCUCUUGAUAUAAAUAGGUUUUAUCCUUGGUUUUUGUUGUUAUAUAGCCAUCAGUAUAGUAAUUUGUGAGCUUCCACAAUUAUUAGAAGUUGCUUUUUUAUUGUUAAUUUGAGAUUAAGGACUAAAUGGGUACACAAUGGGGACAUAAAACUGUCAAAAUGCAGUUUUUGAUAUAGCAACGGCCAAAUUGAGAUCUCUAUGAUACUUACAAAGUAACCAAUUAGCUAACUUGCCAUGCUUCUUACAUUUUUCUCUUUCCCUUAUUGCUUAGCAUGGUUUUCUUGCUCAAACUGCACUGUGCAAUCCAGUCUACCUGUUUUCAUGAUGCCAUUUUGAUUGCUUAAUUUUUGUGCUGCUAUUAAGGCUGCUCUAAUGUGGAUGUUCAGAUUAAGUUAUUGAUGUCUGCUUUCUGUAGAAGAGUAUAUUUAUUAUAAUCUUAAUCAAGGUUGAAAGUCCAUCUUUCAUAACUGUAUCCUACAAGUUCUUUCUUCAAAUCUUGUAAUUUCCUCUAAGUCAUUUCAUGUCUUGAAUCCAGUAAUGUGGAGCUAGGGGUUCACCUAUUUGCCCUUUUUUUUCGUGACUUUUUGGUCAAUAUGUGUUACAUUUCAUGUCUAUAGACUUGGGAAUACAGCAGCAUCGCCUUGAAGGAGAUGAAUACCUUGCAGUCAUAGAUGAAUUCAUGAAUGCUGUCUUCACUCGUUGGCCCCACGUCAUUGUGCAGGUAUUUCAUCAAGUUUGUUGUAGUUAUAUUGAUUUAACCAAAUGUUGAGGAUCUUCAUGUUGAGCUCUUACAAGAAAUGAGGAUGUCAAGAUUUUUGUUGCCAUUGUCAUCAUUUUCCCUUGCUCUUAACAAAAUGUUGAAAGCAUUUUGCAUUGUUGCAGUUUGAAGAUUUUCAAAGCAAGUGGGCCUUUAAGCUGUUGCAGCGUUACAGGAACGAUUACAGAAUGUUCAAUGAUGAUGUUCAGGUAAAAUUUCUCUGACUAAUAUGACAUGGCAUACUAACUAAAAAUGUAUGUUUGUACAAAGGAUAAUAGCAUUGUACUGCAGAAGAAAAUAUGAUUUACAUGGUAGAACAACACAAUUCAGGACCUUGAGAUAUAUUGCAGGCAUUAUUUGUUGAGAAGGAAAAAAAAAGGAAAAGAUGAAGCUCCCCUUAAUUCAUUACCAGCUUUCUGAAAGGAGAAACAUGAGCCAAGGAGAAGUUGGACAUUAGAAAUGAAUAAUGGUGGUCUGGGAAAGGGGAAAUGUGUAGGUGAUGAAAGGGUAAAUUUACAUACCAGAUGCCAAGUGGAAGUCUCUCUGAGAUAGAAUGCCCUUUGAGUUGGGUUUGUUGAUUGAUUUUUCAACUGUGAACCUAUCAUAGACUUGAGUUUCCAGAUUUCUUUAGAGUAUCAGAAAUCUAAAUUUGUGAAGUUGCUUGAUCCAAGUACUCUAUUAACUGACUUCUAUCACUUCCUUUAGCAAAAGUUUUUUAUUACUGGGUAUACUUGAUUGGCUAAAACAUAGCUGACGUUGGAAAUAGUAUAUGAUUUGGGAUUUGGCCUAAUGCUAGUGAAUGAGAUCAGUUGCACAUCAAAAGUUGUCUAAGGUGCAUUGAACAUCAAAGUAAAUUGCAUGGACGUGAAAAAUCUCAAUCACUUACAGGGUACAGCUGGAGUUGCAAUUGCUGGUCUUUUAGGGGCUGUAAGAGCACAAGGGAGGCCAAUGAUUGAUUUUCCUAAGAUGAAGAUUGUAGUUGCUGGUGCUGGAAGGUGAGGUUUUCUAGUAAUUUUCAGUUUCCUUUUCUUUGUCUUCCUUUCUUUUUGUUUCUUUUCUUUCUCUUUCAUGCCUUGGUAGAGGGAGGUUGAGUCAUGCCUUGAUAACAUUGUAGUUCACAUAUGCUGUUUUGCUAUUCAUUGUUCUCCCUGUUCAUUUGUACAAGGAUAUAUACAGUUUCGGACUUGCAUAUUUAGUUGGUUAACUAUAGCAUGGAUUGUCAUUUUAGGGAAUGUAGUGUGAUGAAGUCAAAUAUGCAGACCAAGAACUUUUCCUAGGGAGGAGGAUAUUAGUCCAGGAAAUAUAGCACGCUAGGGUAAACAUUGUUAAGUAUGCCUGAAUUGUUUUCUAUGAAUGCAGUGCAGGAAUAGGAGUUCUUAAUGCUGCUAGGAAGACCAUGGCAAGAAUGUUAGGAAACACUGAAGUUGCUUUUGAAAGUGCUAGGAGUCAAUUUUGGGUGGUUGACGCCAAUGUGAGUAAUCUCAUUCAAUGCUCUGUUCUUCUCAGUGUCUGCUAAUGUUUGAUCAAUCCUUCUGAUUUUAAGUUACAAUACACUUUCUUAAUGUGGGGAGAUUGCUUUCUAUUACAAUGUUCUAUUCUAAUGAAGUAACUAAUUUAAUUUACCCAGCUCUCAGUUUUGCUGGAGAGGCUGCUUGAAAAAUCUGUUUUGAAUUACAGAUUAUAUAGAACAUGUUCUUAGUGUCCAAAAGUGAUUAAAAGGUUAAUUACAUCAUCUAUAAGUUCAAUGGAUUAUCCUACUUAUACCUUAUCUUUUAUGAAAAAUCACGCGUCAGUUUCUGUACUACUACUUAGGUAAAGGGUGUUAUCUAAAGCUUUUGGAUUCUGUAUUGGAAAAUCAAAGUAUUAUUAAAUCCAAAGUCAUUUUAAAAAAGAAUGUGUCAUAUUUACUGCAUUAACCUGUCUUGGCUUUUACUUGAUGAUUCACCGCAAAUUUGGACAAAUCCCAGCUGGUCAUGGUCUAGAAUCGGGUGGGACUUGGUCUGAGGUAUAAUGUUCUCAUUUUCUACAUCAGAAGUUAAGAAUUCCCGUCUGAGAUUGCGGUUUUAUUUUGGAUGGAGUCAAUGCAAAGAACCACUAAUACUACUCAGACUGUGAAUAAUUGGCAUUCUACUACAACUUUUGUAGCCCUUCUAUCAUGUUGACUGCUCUCAUGCGACUUUUUUUACUAAAUACAAAGAAUUGUUUCAUUGAUUAUACUGCUUUUUUAGCAACCUGAUAGUUGGAACAGUUGGCUGUUUAUUUUGGUUUUGAAGGUAGUAUUUUUGUAGGUAGCAUUGAUUUGCGCGGAACAACAUUUGCAUGGUUCAACUUAUUAGUUUUGCUCUUUAUCAGGAUCUGUACAAGUUAUCAGCUGUCUUUAUUUGGAAUAGUUGCAUGUUCAUACUGAACAGUAUCAUGUUGUGAACGAUUCGUAAAUGAAGUUGAUGUUGACUUCUACUAUUUCGAAGCACUGAAAGAUAUGACUAAAUAGUUUACACAUCCAUUUUGUGAGUUUAGGGACUGUUAACUGAGGCACGUGACAGUAUUGAUCCAGAGGCUCGCCGAUUUGCAUGGAAGGUAAAAGAAGCUGACCGUCAAGGGCUUAAGGAAGGAGCAAGUCUUGCAGAAGUGGUCAGUGAAUGUUUUGACCUUUCACAGAUGUGAAUGCUUAAUAUUGCAAAUCUUUACAUUUUUUCUGCUUUUACAAUCGAUUGGUUUCCAUGUUGUUACUCAAGGACUUCCCUAAGCUAUGCACUGCCUUCUUCUAUUUGCAGUAUAUCUAAGAAAUCAAAUUCUACUAACACAAGUAUGUAUUUGAAUGUGCAAACUAAGUUUCUCAAACAUCCCACGUGUCUAGGUUUGAUAAUUAAAUACUCAAUGAAACUAAUCUGAGAGAGCAAAAAUAUUUAAGAUGAGAACUGCCUGUAUGGCCUUCAUUCUGUUUCUUGAAGGAUUUCACGAGUGAGUUUGGCUAGAAUAGUUGGAAAAUUAUGCAGAUGGUUGUUGUCUCAUGGUUACUUUAUUCCCCUAUACUUUGGGGAGUCAUGGGAUGUUUAUGAUAAAAAUAAAUAACUGCUGCAGUUUAUUUUAGCCCUUGAAUACAUGCCAGGAAGAUCAUGACAACCAAUUAUUAAUGACCUAUACUUGUAAGACUUCUUUUCUGCAAAGUUGUGUGUGUUACAUGUGCUCAUGAAUGAAACACUAAUUUGCUUCAUGUCAACAUGCUAUAAUUUAUUCAUAUUAAAAUUUCCAAAUUUUAGUAACUCAAUGUAGUUCUUUUGUGUGUGUGUGUGUGUGCGUUUUAUGGACCUCUGACUGCUGUUAAUAUGAAUAAACCACCAUCUGUGUUCAGCCUGCAAUUUGAAUUCCAAAGCUUUCUCUCUCUCCCUCUCUCUCUUCCCCUUCCCCUUUUCUCCCUUUCCUUCUGAGUUUUCUGUUAAUUUGUUUGGGAAUUUAAGCUGCACAUCUUUCAAAAUUGUUUGUUGUAGGAUAUCACAGCUAGGCGCUUAAAAAAAGAAGAUCAGCGAACUUGCAAGCAUUUGUUAACACCCACUUUACCUGUUCAUAUGACAGCAUAAUUUAAUAUCGGGUCCAGGAUUCGAGUCAAAUCUACUUUGCUAUGUGAUCUAAGCGUUAACAUUUUUUAAUUGUGAAAUUACAUCUUCAGGUUUCCUUUAUUGGCAUGUGAUUUUGGUCAUGAGCUUCAUUUUAUUACUAACAGGUCCGUCAAGUUAAGCCAGAUGUACUUCUUGGUUUAUCUGCUGUUGGGGGCCUGUUCUCUAAAGAGGUAUGCCUUUGUUGCAUAAUCAAUAUAGAGAGUUUUUCCUCUGUAUGAGAAACUGAAGUUGAGUGCUGACUUAGAUAUUAAGUUGGAAGUGGCCGAUAAAUUUUUCUCUUCUGUCAUAAACCAUAUUUUCCUCCAUAUCAAUGGACAACUUCAAUAAAGAUGGUACUGCUUUGUAAUUCAAGUUAACAUAGCACUGCAAUUUACUCAUUAAUGGUCAAGGGUUGUGUUUUUGUUAGAAUUGCUGCAAUCUAUAAGUUAGUAUUGCAGUCUGAAACUUCAAAAGAAUUCUCAACUUUCUGAGAUUGAUGUGGUUCAUGUCCAUCUUCUUUUACUUGUAUUCAUGUGCUUCUAUGUUAACCAAUGCCUAUACAAUUGUAUAGUAAUUGGUUAGCUAUAUGGUUCUUUUUCGUCUGCUUUCCUACAUUCAAUCAAUGCGAAACUAGCUUUGCCUUUGUAAUAAAGGCUUGUCCUGUUUUUCCUUGGCUUUAGUCCACAUAAAUAAUACCAGCUGUAAGUACUCUUCUAUUUGUUUAACUUUUCCCAUAUGUUUUAUGCUCUUGAUGAGAACAAAGCAAGCUUGAUGACGUGAGGAUCAUCCAAAAAGACUUUCCUUUAACAAUAUUUAUAAGUGAUUGGAAAUACUUUUCUGUCUUCAGGUGUUGGAAGCCCUCAAAGAUUCAACUUCUACGAGGCCGGCUAUUUUCCCAAUGUCAAAUCCAACUACCAACGGUAUCUUCUUCACGAAGCAGAGAAAAGAUUUGAGCAUUGUGUACGAAGAGCCUCUAUAAUUUGUUUUUGACUUUUUGAAUUUUUCUAGCUGAAUGCACUCCUGAGGAAGCAUAUUCUAUCGUCGGUGACAACAUUAUAUUUGCAAGUGGCAGUCCGUUUAAAAAUGUUGAACUGGGUAUGUCUUGUGCCUAAUGCUUUUAUAUUAGGCAUUGGAUUUUCUUUCAUUUUUUAAUUUUAAGUAUCCAAAAACCAUUUAAGCUGGAAGAAGCUAGACAAGAUUAACAGUUAGAUGCAUGACAAAAAUACAAUUAACUACCAGAUUAGCAUUAUCAAUGACACAAGGCUGUCAGUCUUCUAUCUUUCCUACAACUCAACCUCACUCAUCAUACCCUCGUUUACCCAUGAACACUAAUUUCCAUGAUUCCGAUCGAUAUCUGACAGCAUUCAUCUUACUCCAUGAUAGCUACAUCAGAUCUCACUAAUGUCCAUGACACUGCAUAGUUCACCUUUUUUGGGUUCCACUGGUAAUUUCUUGGUGUUAAAAUCUUAUGCUGUUUGCUUGAUUAGCUUUCUGGAGGAAAACACGUCAGAACCUCCCAAAUUUUGACAUAUAUGAAAGCAUAUGCUCUUCUCCUUUUGGGAAACUCUGUUCAAAUAAAAGAGAAGAUGCUUCUUCCAAGGCCAAGAAUUUUGUGUCCAAAGAAAGAGCUGCAAGUUGAUCUGUUAAACAAUUCCUACGGAUUUUAAUUAUUCUCAUUCUGUCUUAUUUAAAUGUAUGUAUCAAGACAUCUGGUCUGUAAAUGCAUUCUGAACCAUGUCUCGAUGAAUAGGAGGCGGUCGUAUUGGGCACUGCAAUCAAGGAAACAACAUGUACCUUUUUCCUGGGUAAGAGGCUAAACCUUGGACAUACAAAGUAAGAGUUUAUCUGAUCUUUUAUAUUUUGAUCUAUAUCUUGAAUGUUGCAUUUGAGUUCACAGGAUAGGACUGGGUACUCUUCUAUCCGGGUCUAGAAUCAUAUCAGAUGGCAUGCUACAAGCAGCUGCUGAAUGGUAUUUCCUGUAUAUUUUAUCUGGACUAAGAAAUAAUUAAGUUUACCUCUGAAACCAUCAUGAUAUCCAAAUUCACUGACAGAUUCCAAUGAUUAGACCUACAUGUCAAUGGGGCCAUUCAACAGUGUGCUUUCUUUUGUUUAAGAAACAAAAUGUGUACAGCCGUCUUAUGUGGUUUACUUGUUUCUAUUUGGAGAAUCUGUAAGCUUUGUUAAAGUAAUAGAACACUGUGGUUCCGAAGCUUACAAAUUCGAAAGAAAAUAAUCCUGUUGUUUCUUGUUAAGAGAUAAUGUCUAGAUACUUCUUCAUAGAUUCAAGAAUGGCAGGAAAUCUGGACACUCAUUUGCUGUUCAGCAGCCAAUAACGAAUAGACCGAAAAUUUUAGUUUUUGAACAAGGCAGAAUCAUGUAUGACUUGCAUGAAUUUAGAAUAGAUGUUUUCUGCUGGCAAUAGGGAAUUAUAACCUUUCUGACAUUGAAUUGAAAAUUACAGUCUAGCAGCAUAUAUGACAGAGGAGGAGGUGCUCAACGGGAUCAUAUACCCUCCAAUAUCCAAGUAAGGAUAGGUUUUUAGUGAUCAGAUUGCAAUUUGCUUCAGCUAGUAGUUCCUAUAUCAAGGGAGGUACAGUGUUGAUAUGAUUCCUGCAUGCAGGAUACGAGAUAUAACCAAGGAGGUAGCUGCAGCUGUCAUUAAGGAAGCUGUAGCAGAGGAUCUGGCAGAAGGAUAUCGUGAAAUGGACAGCCAUGAACUAAGGAAACUUAAUCAGGUAUCUUCCAGUAAUGCUGAUCUUCUUCACCAUUGCUUUUUCUACACAUUUAAAACAGCAGACCUGCUUGAAAUGCUUGUAGGUCUUGGGGCAACAUGAGCUUCUAUAUGGCUCAUAACGGCUAUCUUGUAUGCAUAACCUAUUGAAUCAUAGCUGGUACAAUUAAUGUCUUUGUACAUGAUUACUGGAGAUCUUGCGAAAGCUAGUCAUAAAAUCUAGUUUGCUGAAUAUAUGAAGCAUAAUACGAGUUUAAGAUAACUUUUUCUGGCCACUGAGUGGCUGUAGGAAUUUUUAUAACCAAAGUGUGAAUGAGACAUGUUAGUUGAUUAGGUUGUGUUCUUUACACAACUUUGUCUAUGGUCGAAUUCAGUCUCCCAGUGAACUUCCAUAUGUAUCAAGUACGGUUUGUCUGUACAAAAUCAGCCGUUUACUAACUAUGAUUUCUUUACUUAUGUUUCUCCCCAAUUUGCAGGAAGAAAUUGCAAAUUAUGUUGAAACCAAUAUGUGGAGUCCAGAUUACCCAACGCUUAUAUACAAAGAGGAUUGAACGCACCCAACCUUUCUAGGAACAAUUUGGCGAGCGUGAAUGAAGUAUUCUAAUUUUUACUUGGACACAACCACAAUUGGUACUUAGCCUGCAAUGUCUGUUUCCGGAGAUUGUAAUAUAUAUUUUGUUUAGGUUCUGAGCUGCAUGUAUCUAUCAAUUUCCGUGGAAAUUUUUUCACCCUUCCCAAAACCCAAAAAAACCCAAUAGAUCCUGUAAACAGUAGAAUUUGGGAGCCAAGUUUUGCCAUAACUCUUCCCCUGUUCUGAGUCUAUAGCGAGGAUGAGGAUGGUGAUGCAAGAAGGCCUUUUGGUUCGGAUUUUUUGCUCUAUUCUUGUAAGUGAAUCGAUGAUGACAUGAAGGCCAUUUUUAUUCUCGAAUUGAUAUAAACGAUGACGAAUUGUAUAAACAGUUAGAGGUGAGUAAAUAGAAUAAAAAUCAAGGAUCCUUAUUUGACAAACGCAAAAUUACAGAUUACGAGAUUCUUGACUAGACAGAAAAGAAAGGGAGUAGAGUAGCACCAGGUUAAAUCAGAAACAAGAAGCUGAGAUCGGAACAGAAUUAAAUAAUAAAUAAUAAUGCUACAAAAAGAAUUUAUUUUUAACAUUUUUUUUGAAUAAAUAUUUUUCAUAGUUGAACUUUUGGAAAAAAAAAAGAUUAAUUUUUCUUACACUGAUAGUGUAUAAAAUUUGAAACUUAACUUUUGUACACAUGUCAUGAAUGAAACAGUAAUAGUGUAUAUAUUGUCUGUGUGUAUAAGAUUUAUUCAAAAAAAAAAAAAAAACUCCAACACCAUUCUGUAAAGUUACUUACUUUUAUAUUGUGAUUUUUUUUAAUCGAGCUCAAAUACAUGUAUUGAUACUUUACUUUCCUAGAAUUCAUACACUUGGAGAUUAAUACUGGAGGCAAAUACCGAAGAUAUAUACUUCACGGUUUCCUGUGGGCUGGGCUGGGCUGGGCUAUCGGGGUAUGGCGGUGGAGUGGGGGCUAUGGCUGGCAGAGGAAAGGUAAUCCCUUCCAUUUUUAUAUAAACUUUCACAAAUGCUCAAAUAAGUAGAGAUUCUGCAGAAGAAUUAUUAUACAUGUAGAACAGAACACUUGGUUCUUUUCUGGGCCUGGGAGAAGAUGAUGAAGAGUGUCCGGCUGGCAAUCGUACUCGUAUUACUGCUGGUUACGAUCCUCAUCAUGCUGGAUUCAACCGUUGCAUUAGAAGCAAUUAGCCACCGCGGUGGCGGUGGCGGUGGUCGAGGUGGAGGCAGCCGUGGUGGUAGCCGCGGAGGGGGCGGUAGUGGAAAGAGGAAUAGAUUUAUCCCGGUUGUUGUAGGAGGUCAUGGCCGUGGUCAUCAUCAUAAGAGCUCCGCCUCGCCCAGCAUCAAGGGGGAUCUUAUGGCUAUGCCUAUGCAUGGUCCUGUCUACUGCAUAUUCUCAUGUAUAAUCUUGUUAUUCCCUAUGAUUUACUAGCUUGUUUUUUUUUCUCAAACACCAUGGAAGCCAGGGCUUGAAAGGGGUGUCAGAUCAGGAGCAGAAUUCGGGCUUUGAAAGGUUGAUAGUCCAAUGUAGAUAUUUAGAGUUUGAGGUCCGUGCUUAUCAGAAAAAUAUCUAAUCUUGCCUGCAUUUUCAGUAGUGCCGUCCAAUUCAUAGUUGUGUAAAUGGAUGAGGUAAAUAUCGUCUUUGUUUAAACUACUGUGUUCACGGGUUCAUGCUUUUACUUGUAACUACAAUUUGGAUUAUCACAUUACAAUUACAAAGUUUCAUGUAAUCUAACGACGUUGAUUAAAAAAAAUUAAGGCACCUAAAUUAAUUCAAAUUCAAAAUUAUUGUAUUAUGGAUUCGUGGUUGGUAAUGUAUAAGCUAAUUGUCGCUCACCACGUAUUUUG
RNAcentral lists this long non-coding RNA (55794 nucleotides) under Coffea arabica (coffee). RNAcentral describes it as "long non-coding RNA (CARA_LNC001702)". Lineage: Eukaryota; Viridiplantae; Streptophyta; Magnoliopsida; Gentianales; Rubiaceae. The record is from RNAcentral.